Molecule: long non-coding RNA, 56447 nt
Filed under: Medicago truncatula (barrel medic)
Lineage: Eukaryota; Viridiplantae; Streptophyta; Magnoliopsida; Fabales; Fabaceae
Description: long non-coding RNA (MTRU_LNC004005)
Source: RNAcentral
UUUGGGAAAAAGAUGGGGUCUCAAAUGGCCUCUAUUACUCUCACUAUUGCAUUGGCAAUAAUCUCUCUUACCUUGCCAUCCCAAACUUCAGCAAACAGCUACAUCUAUUCAUCUCCACCACCACCACCAAAGCCUUACUACUACCACUCUCCACCACCACCGGUGCACUCACCACCUCCUCCUUACCAUUACAGUUCCCCACCACCACCUCCAAAGAAGCCAUACAAAUACGCUUCUCCUCCACCUCCAGUUUACAAGUACAAAUCACCUCCUCCACCAGUGUAUAAGUAUAAGUCUCCUCCUCCACCACCGAAGAAGCCAUAUAAAUAUCCAUCUCCACCACCACCAGUUUACAAGUACAAGUCACCUCCUCCACCAGUUUACAAGUAUAAAUCUCCUCCACCACCAGUUUACAAGUACAAAUCACCUCCUCCACCGGUGUACAAGUAUAAAUCCCCUCCUCCACCAGUGUACAAGUACAAGUCUCCUCCACCACCACCUAAGAAGCCAUAUAAAUACCCAUCUCCACCACCGCCAGUUUACAAGUACAAAUCACCUCCACCACCGGUGUACAAGUACAAAUCUCCUCCACCACCAGUUUACAAGUAUAAAUCCCCUCCUCCACCAGUGUACAAGUACAAGUCUCCUCCACCACCACCAAAAAAGCCAUAUAAAUACCCAUCUCCCCCACCACCAGUUUACAAGUACAAAUCACCUCCUCCUCCAGUUUACAAGUAUAAAUCUCCUCCACCACCAGUUUACAAGUAUAAGUCACCUCCUCCCCCAGUUUACAAGUACAAAUCUCCACCACCACCACCCAAGAAACCAUACAAGUAUCCAUCACCACCACCACCAGUUUACAAGUAUAAGUCUCCCCCUCCACCUGUCUACUCACCACCACCAGUUUACAAGUAUAAGUCUCCUCCUCCACCUGUCUAUUCACCACCUCCACCAUAUAAGUACAAAUCUCCACCACCUCCUCCUUAUAAGUACCCAUCACCACCACCACCAGUUUACAAGUACAAGUCACCUCCUCCCCCAGUUUACAAGUACAAAUCUCCACCACCACCACCCAAGAAACCAUACAAGUAUCCAUCACCACCACCACCAGUUUACAAAUAUAAGUCCCCUCCUCCACCUGUAUACUCACCACCUCCACCAGUUUACAAGUAUAAGUCUCCUCCUCCACCCGUCAAUUCACCACCUCCACCAUAUAAGUACAAAUCUCCACCACCUCCUCCUUAUAAGUACCCAUCACCACCACCGCCAGUUUACAAGUACAAAUCACCUCCUCCUCCAGUUUACAAGUACAAAUCUCCACCACCACCACCCAAGAAACCAUACAAGUACCCAUCACCACCACCACCCGUUUACAAAUAUAAGUCCCCUCCUCCACCAGUUUACAAGUAUAAAUCUCCUCCUCCACCUGUUCACUCACCACCUCCACCACACUAUGUCUACUCUUCACCUCCUCCUCCGGUCUAUUCCCCUCCUCCACCACAUUACAUAUAUUCAUCACCUCCUCCUCCUUACCACUCUUAGAUAACGGUUUACCAUAGUAUCCCAUGGUAUGCUUCUUUUUUAGUACGACCAAUAUCUUUAUGAUUAAAAUGCUUCGAGAAAUACUAAUUUAUAUAUCAACAAAAUAUAUGUAUUUUAUCAACGAAACAAUUAAAUAAGAGAAUCAAAAUUAGUGAUUUGAAUAGUUUUACAUGCCAACACAUGCAAGUCGUUAUAUAGACCUCACAUUCAUUUUAUUCUUAUUAUUCUUAUAGUCUAAAUAGUACAAUUUUCUUGAAACGUCUAAAUUGACAUACAUCUUAUGGUACAGUUUACAAAAAUCAAUCUAAGCCUAUUUUAUUUCUAUUUAUAGUAUUAUAUGUAAAUAGAAAAAAUAUACAAACUAAAAGGAAAGUUGACAGUUAUGUUUCUUAUUAAUGCUUCUCACUCGUAUUGUUCUUUGAGUGCUUAAUUAAUGUGUUUAUGUGUUUGUAUAUACUUUUGUAGGGAUUAAGGAAUAUUGGAAAUAAAGAGAACAUAGUGCAAAGCAGGAAGAUGCAUUUAGCAAUAAGGGAGAAAAACAACGGAAGCAAAGUUUCCAUGCAUUUUGGUCUCAGAAAAAGUCACUUUGUUUUUCUUAUUUGUUUGUAUAUGAAUUAUUAUUCUCAUUAUUGAGUUUGGUUAUUGAAUUUAGACAGGUGUAAUACACUGUGUGUAAUAUCGUGAAUGCAUUUUGUUUUGGAACCUACUCUUUGCAAGGGGUUGGUUGGGAAAAUAAAAUUGAAUAUUUGUUCUACUAAUUCUUUGCAUAUUUAUUGUGAAAUUACAAUAUAAUCAAUGCUCAACUAAUUAUUUUUUUCAACAGAAAACUAAUGCAUUUCAUUAAAAAUUAAAGGACCAAUAUAAAGGAGAAUGUCAAAUUAUAAAGCUAAGAAUUUCUGAAAAAAAAAAUAAAGUUGAGAACUGACGCUGUAUAUGUUUAGCUUAGCAAAGGUGCAUUGUGCAUCCAUAUUAGUCUCUCUCCUACAAAACUCGACAUAAGAAUUAUUACAUAAUAACGAUAAAGUACUACAAUAUCUACUUAAAAUAGAAUCUACAUAUCAAUAGCUGUUAAUAAGUUUAAAGUCUCACCCUCACUCAAUAACUUAUUUAAGCAUUGAAUGUUCAAUCCAAUUGCUAUUAAUUUCGACAAGCCGGUCCUAAUUUACUCUCUCUCGGUUUUCUCUUCCAGUUUCUUCAUUGAGGAGUUAUUUUGGGUCAAUUAUUGACCUGAAAUCACUCCUCUUCAUCUUUUUAUGCCUAUUUCAAUCUAAAUAAGUGAUUUUCACAUAGAUUUAGGUUUUUUCUUUGUGGUUUUAUCAUCUAAGUGUGGUGGUUUGUUGUUCGUCGUCUUGUGCGGCGUUGUUCGAUUUCACGUUUCUUGCGGUGUUCAUUUAAUUCAUAUUGAAAGAUUGAUUAUUCAAUCGAAGAUUUGGGCGUCAACGUUGCAGAUCCGGAUGCUAUGGAUAUUCCGGUCACUUUAAUUUUAUCAUAUAUUUUUUGUUGUGAAAACCACACCAAUAAUAAACUUGAUGCGUGGAGCAAAUUAAUACCAAGUAAUCAAAUCAAGCGGGUAGCAAAUAAUUCAAACAAAAGUAAACGACAAGAGAUAAAAGGAAAGAAGGAGAACACAAGAAUUUGUUUACCCAGUUCGGUCUAAUGAUGACCUAGUCUAGGGGAGAUAGCAGCUCUCUGCUUCACUAUAAUGAUAUGAGUUUCUUUACAAAGAGAUAUUGAAUUACAAGAAUCAGUCUUCAAACCUAAUUCUACCCAAGUCCCAGCCUCUUCCCGUGACCAAGAGACUCAAUCCUAAUGGUGCUUUGUUCAACGUGAAUCAAAACAAUCCCAACCCUAGUGUUUGUUGCCAAGAGAAAUUCUCUAUAAACCCUAUUUUCUACACAGUGUUUUGUUUCUACACACUCUCAGUCUCUCAAAUAUUCAUAUGAUACAAAGCUUAUAUUUAUAGUGGAAAGCAUUCCUCAAAAAUUGGAAACAGGCCCACAAGCUGUUUUAUUUUUCUCAUCUUGCGAGAAAUCGGCCAUCAAGUUUGGAAAAUCGGCCACCGAUUUUUCACGAGACAAAAGUCUCCAAAACCAGGUCAAAAUCGACCACCGUGUGGUGUAACACCCCAUUCCCAAAUAUAAUUUAUUUAAAUGAAAUAAACACACAUCAGAGUAAUAAAUCCAAAUGGGCAUGUCACACUACAUUUUCAAAUUUCUGAAAUAGAAUAUAAAAAAUCUAUUUAUUAAACAUCCAAUGAAAUCAUCAUUUAAUAUGCAGCGGAAUAUUAUCAACGAAACGUCAACAACUGUUUAAACCUCCAAAAUAAUAUCUCAGCAUAAAAAGCCUCAACCAGAAUAAUUCAUCAACCAUAGGGCUACAACAACAUUAACCAAAAUUUGAUACAUAGAAUGAAAGAAAACAAUAAAAUCCCAUCCCACGUAUCAGAGCCCUAGACACUUUGAGCCACCACCUACUACUCAGGAUCACCUGCAAGUUACCCAUAGGAAGGGCAACAUUUCCAAGCAGAAGGGGUGAGAUUCUCAAUCAAUAAAAAUAAAAUAUAAUAACAUCAAUUGAAAAUCUAGCACCUUACAACAUCAAUGAUUAUUCAAUAAGCAUAGGUAUUUCAUAAUCGACAACAAUCAUUCAAAUAUAGAAUUCAAUCAACAAUGCAACUCAUGAUAUGACAUGACACCCCCCUUUAAUACUCCUCAAUAAAUGCAACUAUGCAUGUGGUACCAUAAUUCAGGGCCAUGACCCACACCACUGUCGAAUGGUUAAAGCAUUCUCAGCAGGACCUAAGUCCUCACCGCUCCACACCGCUUUGAACAACUAGUGUUCCACCGCUUUGAACGACAAGGCGUUCCAGAGCCGAAGCUCUCCCACUUUGAUGUUUAUGCAACUACCCCACCUGUGUAUAUCUACAUACAACUCGACCACUACAUAUGUAUCAUAUGACUUACUACUCCACAACUCAAACAAUCCAGACUUACACAAUUAUUUAUAAUUAUGCACAUACAUCAAUCAUCUCCGACAUUCACUAACACCAAUCAAUCCAAUCACUGGCUAGUUUAAAUAGGAUUUGGUCACCUACACCAGGGUUAUAUUAGUUAAAGAGGAAGUUAAAGAACGCUCAAGAAGUCCCCUCAUGCACUAAGCAACAGUUCAGAAAAGGCUGAUUAAGGUUCACUUCGCUUAAGCGACGGCUAGUUCGCUUAAGCGACCAGCUUACAGUAGGUUCUGGGUUCAGUUCGCUUACGGGUCGCUCACGGUUCGCUUGAGCGAACUUUGGACAGAAUGAAAAUGGUUUUUCGCUCACAGGGUCGCUUACCAUUCGCUUAAGCGAAAUCUUGGCAGAACCAAACUUAAUUUUCGCUUACCAGUUCGCUCACGGUUCGCUUAAGCGAACGGGUAAAAUCGCAUUCUGGGCAGCUUGCUUGAAUGCUCGCUUAAGCGACGGAUGCUUCGCUUAAGCGACCACUCAUCUGGGCAGUGCAAAACCUACGGUUUCAGACCUCUUCUCACUCCAAAAACCCCAUUUUAAUCCCCUGAUCACCCAAAAUGUUUUCCAACAGAUGUUUACAGGUCCUAUAUACAACUAGGCAUUACAAAGAAACACAAUUCAGCCAUCAACAACAACAAUUAUAGAAUCAUUCCACCAUCACACAAUAUUUCAUCAAUUCAUACAAUUCAUCCAAAAUUCAAUCAAUUCAUGGAUUACAGCAACAACAUGGAUUAAGAUUUCGUUCUUAACAUUAAAUUCCAAGAAACUAACAUCAUCUUUACUCAUUCCAUCAGAAUCAUCAUCAAACCCUAACUUUCAUCUUAUUUUCCAAAACUAUUCAAUUAGGUCAAUUUCAGAAAUUAUAGAUUAUGAUUAUUGAGAGAUAGUCUCACCCUUACCUUAGUUUUGCAGAAAAUUAGACAGCAAGGAUCGAUUUCUAGGCUCUCCUCUCUAGCUCUUGCUCUUCUUCUCCCUUUUCCCAAAACUUGUCUGUUGUACGUGAAACUGUUUUCUGACUAUUCCUUUUCCUAACUCCCCAAAACUAUAACUCCCCCUAUUACAUUAAACUCCAUUAAUUUUUAUUAAAUUCUAAUUAACUCCCUAAUUUCUAAAAUAAUAUUAAUUUCCAGUUAUUUUAAUUAUUAUUAUAUUAAACUAUAUAAUAAAAUGCACACACCACAUAAAUCACCAAAAAUCAUAUAAAAUCACAUUUGAGACUCCACAUAAUUCAAAAUAAAAUAAAAUAAUACUAGGGCGUUACAUGUGGUACAAAUUGGACACCGAAUUUGACAGACAGGAUGCACAUUUUUGAGUCACUUUUCAACAUUUUUGUAGGCAUUAUGUCGUUAUAUGCUAUUAAUUAACUUUGAUGUUGUGAGUUUAUUAGCAGAUUCAUCCUUUAAGUUUUUAGCGGUGUUGAAUGAUGUAAUCUCGAUUUGAAUGAAUGAAUAUCAUUUUAUUUUUGUAAAAAAAAAAAAAAAAAAAACUAUAUACAUCAUUACUGUAAUUUUUUUUACAACAUGUAUCAAUCAUUUUGUUACAUUUUGUAUUAGUUACUAAAGUAUAUCUACAAAUAGUCUAUGUCGUUAAUUGUGAUCGAAUGCACACAGAUUUUUACAUUAAAAUUUUGCAAACCAUCAAAGUUAAAAAAACAUGCAUAGAACAAACCUUGGGAUAUGUAUUCGAGAUGACGAAAACACUUUUUGUGUUGGAUAAAACUUUGUCCAUCACUGCAAUGUAUAAGCAUACGGGAGAAGUUUUGGGUUUUUUCCAAUCGUUACACUAAUUAAGUGAUAUGUAAUUUGACAAUGUUGACUUUACAUUGUACUCAAAGAUUAUUACAAAUGGUUUCCAUCAUCAUCGUGUUCAUGUUACAUAAUUUGGUCAAGUGAUUUCAGCUUACAGGGGCCUCUUUAAUACUUAUUUCACAAACUCUUAGGACGAGUUUAACAGACGACAAACCAAUGAGGUAGUUCACAUCCUUGUUGGGUUGUCAAAUUAUCAACUAAUCUCACUAUUUAUUCGCAUGUAAUUCGUUGUAUAAGCACUCUUAUUAUUAAUUAAACUAGCGAGUUAACCCGUGCAAUGUAUGAGCGACAUAUGCUACUAUUUUUUAAUCUCCAAAAUUAUAUUCUUUUUUUUGUUUUUUUAUAUAUCACUAGCGAAAAGACAAGCACUCUCGUGCCCGUCUUUCCGCUCUUUUUAUUGCGUUAAUGUUUGAAAAUUAUGAACAAUAUUUUUUUAUGAAAUUUUGAUUUUGAUUAAAACUAUAUAUAUAUAUAUAUAUAUAUAUGUUUGUUGCUUUAAAAUUAUAACAAAUCAAACUAAUCAUGAUUAUCUAUUUCAUUGAAACCAACAAUAUAACAAAAAAAAUAUAAUCUAAACUCUUAUUUUUUUAAUGACACCAACAACGAUCUUUAUUAUAGAAAAAGUUAUUUGAGGGUAUAAUUGAAAUAGUAAAAAAGUAAGUAUAUAAAAAUACUCAUCUAGUUUGUUAGACAUUUUAAAAGAUAAAAGAAAAAAAUUAGACAUAUAUAUAUAUAUAUAUAUAUAUAUAUAUAUAUAUAUAUAUAUAUCGUGUUUCUUACACUUUUAUUUUAAUACAUGAAUUUGCUUUAAUCUAUUUGUUUUGUGUUAUUUGUAUUGAAAGUUAAGGGUAAUUUUGGAAAGAGAAAAAUUCAGCCUAAAAGAGUCUAAAUAUGCUAUUUUCUUUAUAUAUAGUAUAAAUUAACUAACAUUUUAUAAGUUAUAGCCGGCCCUAGUUUUCUAGUGAGAGAAACUCCAACUUCUCUCUAGACUUUCUUUCUCCUUCGUUCAUCGAGGAGGGGUGGUUUUAGGUCAUUUUUUGACCUAGAAUCACCCCUCUACAUCUUUUUUCCCCUUUUCUUUCAAUCUAAAUAAGUGGUUUUCACAUCUAUCAAGUUUUUCGUUUUGUGUUUUUUGUGAUUUCGUCGUCUAAGUGCGGCGUUUGAUUUCGCGUCUUGUCGCGGUGUUUGUUCAGUUCCUAUUGAAAGAUCUACAUCAAUCAAUUACAAAUUCAAGCAAUGAUUUGGAUGUCAACGUUGCAGAUCCGGAAGCAUGGGUAUUUCGGUGAUUUAGGUUUGAUCAUAUUAUUUGUAGGCAUUUUGCUGUUGUAUGCUAUUAACUUGGGUGCUGUGAGUUUGCUCGCAUAUUCACCCUUUACAUUUUUAGCGAUGUUUGUAUCUGAUGUACUCUAUCGAUUUGAAUGAAUGAAUAUCGUUUUGUUUUUGUAAAAUAAAAAGUGUUUUUUUUUUUUUUUUAUAUUUUUUAUUAGUGACAAAUAUUUGACCCAUACAUUUUUUAUGUAUUAAUGAUAAAUAUUUGUUCUAGUUUUCUAAAUUUAUAAUGACAAAUAUAUCUUAUGUGUUUAUCAUUGACAAAUAUUUGACACAUUUUUUUAUAUAUUUAUCAGUGGUAAAAACCUCAUAAAGAACCUAUGUUAAAUACUUGUUCCGUACUUUUUUAAUUGAUCAAUUACAAAUAUUAGUCCCAUGCUUUUUAAUAUUUUUUGUUCAAUUUUUUAAAAUAUUUAUCAAUUAAUUUAGGGUUAACAGGCCUUUACCCCCUACAAUGAUAGGCGAAUACUUGACCCUAGAGCUCUAAAAUGUGUUUUUGUUGGCUAUUCCUCCACUUAAAAAGGAUAGAAAUGUUACCAUCCUUCGUACAAACAAUUCUGUGUCUAGAGAUGUUACAUUUCAUGAAGAGGAAGCUUUUUUCAAACAACCUUAUCUUCAGGGAGAGAAUUUAAGAGAAGAUAAGGAAAUAAAUCAUGAAAUCCUUGCUCUUCCUAUCCUUGAGUUUGCUUGUAUCCUAAGGUUGACAUAACCUUAGAGAACCUUUCAAACCAUGCUCAGGGUGAUUGUUUCAAUCCAUAUAAUGCCUUUUUCAACCUGCAUAUAGAAUUGGCAGCAAGAUUUUUACAAUAUUCUGGCGGUACCUCCAUAUAGAUUUCCUCCUCUAGUUCCCCAUGCAGGAAAGCAUUUUUCACAUCAAAUUGCUGCAAUUCCCAACCAUAAAAGGAAUGGAAAUGCAAUAAUUGAAGCUUAUACUGAUGAUGACCAUGCGGGGUCAAUUACAGACAAGAGGUCCACUACUUGAUAUUGUACCUUUGUUGGAGGAAAUUUAGUAACUUGGAGGAGCAAAAAACCGAAAGUGGUGGCUUGCUCUAGUGUUGAAGCUGAGUUUUGAGUAUAACAUAAGGUAUUUGUGAACUACUUUGGCUGCAAAUUAUUUUAGAAGAUUUGAAGAUAAAAUUGGAUGGACCUAUGAAGUUCUAUUGUGAUAAUAAGUCAGCAAUCAACAUAGCUCAUAAUCCCGUUCAACAUGAUCGAACAAAACACGUUGAGGUGGAUAGGAAUUUUAUCAAAUAUUUUUAUAUUUAUUAGUGACAAAUAUUUAUUUCACGUUUUCGGAUAUAUUAGUGACAAACAUUUGUCCUAUGUUUGUUAUGUAUCAGUUAUUAAUAAAUGUCUUGUGUAUAUUUAUCAUUGAUAAGUAUGUGUCCCGUGUUUUUAUUUUAUUUUAUUUUUUAUAUUCUUCGAUCUUAAAGCAACGAUGAUAGAUCAAGACCUAGAGUGAUAAUUGGUGCCAUUUAACAAAGAGUUUGCAAGAACAUUCCCAAGAUUUUUAUUUGGAUGCAUGAAAUAUGGAUUUAAGGUAUCAUUCUGGUAACCUUUGUGAUGAUGAGAAUCGUGUCCUCCAUUGACACUUCCAGCAAUACUAUCCAUAGACAUGAUGAAUCAACGAAAGGGAUUCACAGAGAAAAGAAAGAAGAGAUAUUUUUACAUUCUUAUGACAUAACUAACUACACACUAACUAUGAUUAAGACUAGAGAUGACUAUAGUUAGGAUGUUACAACUAACUGUUAACUGCCUCAAUAACUUGCAGAGCAACUUACUUAGUGUUCACUAUGUUUUGUUGUUGACAAAAUUCUUAUUUGAUGUUUUAAAAAUUACAAACAUAUUAAAUUUAUUUCAUCUUGUUAUCUACUAACUUGUUCUGUGAUAAUUAUUUCAUGAGAAUGAUCACGACAACAUUCUGGUAUCAUAAGACAAACAAAGCAGUUACGUCAAAAGACAAAUCAGCAAAAAGGCAAAAUUUAGCUUUACAAGAAUAUUUAACUUUUGAAUUAUUAAUAUCAAGAUCAAGACAUUUAUAUGCCUUAUUAAAGGAAGACAUAUAAUGUUCUGUCGAAAAGAAAAAAAAAAGAUAUUUAAUCAUUGUUGAUUGGCAAAAUGAAGAAAGAAAUGUUUUGGGCCUUAAAGAAGAUUUUUUAUCCAUUAAGGAAAAGAAACAAGUCCAUUAAAGAAAAAUAUCUCAUAAAGGCUUUAAGCACAUGUGAAUUAAAUGUGACAUCAUCAAAAGGACAAAAGAAUGACAUAAGCAUGUCACUUCUGACAACUAUCAACAACUCAUUAUAGCCGGAUAACUCUCACGUGGAAGCAUAAAGUAAGCUGGACAUCCAUAACCUUCUGGAUGUGUAAAUUAACAUUCUAGUCGUGUUGAAGAAGAAAAGUGAAAUCAAUUGAAACUUUGGAUAUCUAUAAAAAUGUGCCCAACAACUCUAUUUUCAUAGUUUAUCACCAACACACUCCACAUCUAUAAAUACAUGAAGACAUGAAGAAUCAAAACAAGUGUUUUGAAAGCAAGCAUUCUCUCGAGUGAAAAUCAUCACUAUAUACAAACUCUUCACAAACAAACAAAUUCUAAGUUCUCUCAAUAUAUCAUUUGGAUGAUACUCAUUCAAAUUUGUUUAUUUAAAUCUCAAACAUGUGUUGAGAAUUUCAUUUGAUCCAAACCCACCUCAUCAUACAAAGUGUAUUGUGUUCUCAAGUCUAUUGCUAACAAUAUUUUGAGAAGAAUUGACAACCUUUCUUGUCCAGAAUUAAAAAAUUGUAGAAGCCUACUAAGGUUUAUUUUACAGGAUUUAACGAACUGAUCUGGUGUGAUCAAGAAUUUAUGGUGCUAGUCAUAAGUUUCUGUUAGCAUGAUACUAUAGUGGAUAAUCUUACACAAGGUGUGGGGACUGAAAGUAGCCGAGUUUGGUGAACUAUGAUAAAUCUCAGGUGUUAUUCUUCUUCCCUUUCUCUCUUUAAUACUUAAUAAUCUCUCCAAAAUAUUGUGGUCCUAAUUAAUCACAAUCAAAUUAAUCCAAUGUUUUCUGGUCCUAAAUUGUUUCAUUUAAUAUUAAUUAUACAGAUGCAUUCAGAACAUUCUGAUGCAAGAUAAAACAAUUACAUAAAUAACUAAAGACAAACUCACGUUUAAAAUCAAAUUAUAAUAUUAUUUUAUCAUUCUGUUUUAUUCUCCAGAACAUUCUGGUCCUUGUUAAAAUAGUUUUACAUUUCAGCUUAAUAUCAUUUUUCUCAUUCUUCUUAUAUAUUAAAUAUAUAAUCAUUUAAUCAAAAACAUUAUGGUCCUAGAUAAAAAAGAAUUGUUAUAUAUCAAACACUCUAAUCUAAUUAGACUAACAUUUACCAAGAACCUUCUCUACUAAACAAACUUAUUUAAGUUUCAGGAAUAAUUUUAAAAGGGUCACAAUUCACCUCCUCCUCUUGCGACGUUUCUUGCUACUUCAUGUUCAACAUAGGAUUUUAUAUCACAACCAAGCGACUUUUUCACACCCACACACCCAUUAGUUAUCUAGCUGUAAUAAAAGCAUGUAAUUGAAUGAAUUAAAUGAAAAAGGAGUUAGGGUUUCAAAUAACAACCAUAUAGAUUUAGGGGUGGCCCUGAGGGCAGGCAGGAGGGGCAGUAACCUAGGGCACCAUUUUUUAAGAGGCACCAAAAUUAUUAUUUUUACUUAGUAGUUAGUACUAUAUAGAUAUAUUUCUUUUUAAUUCGUUUUGAUUAAUUAUAUUAAAAAUAUAUUUUUAGAGAACUUUAAUUGUAAAUGAAUCUUUUGUAACAAAAACUGCAAGAAGGAAAAUAUUGAAAUAAAUAAAACAACACAAUUUUAUUGUUUCGUCCAUGACACCAAAAAUCUCAGAACCAGCCCUGAGAAAGACUAUAAUGUUGUGGGGCCGCAUCUUUUCUUUUCUUAACAUGAAUGUGAAGAAAGACGAGAGAUUAUAAAAUUUAGAUAUUUUCUACGCUGCCCUUCUCUCUCUUCAUGUUUGUCUUUUGCAAAAUAACAUCAUUGUAAAAAUUAAAUUUAGUAUCUUAUACUCCCUCCAUUCCUUUUCUUUUAAUGUUUUAGAACUUUAAAUAUAUUCCAAAACUUUUGAUGUUUUAGUGAAUUUAUUAUUGUUUUCUCAAGUUUACCCUUUUCUUCCGAAGCAUAAAGAAUAACCUUCAACCAAGACAUAAACUCAAAAAGAAAAUGUUUAAAUUAAUAAUAAUAUUGAUUUUUAUGUUUGUUUUUUAUUGAACACGUAGAAAAUUGGUUUUCAAACAAACAUAACGUUUGGGAGAGUAUGUAACACUUGAGUUCGAUUCUAGAAUUGUCUAUUUGGAAGGCAGCUCAAUCUUGUAUAAAAAUAUGUCUCACAUUCAACUUGAAAUUAAAUGUCAUAGCUUGGUUAAACUAGAGCCAUGGACAGAUAAAGAGACUAUGUGAUCAAAUGUGGCUAUUUUGAUACAAGUCAUUUUGCCUUUUAAAAAAGAAAAAAUGAAUAGAUUUAAAGCAAUUGGUUAACAAAUCCAAGUCACACCUCAUCAAGGAAGGAAAAGUCAGCAUUUACUUAGCAUUCACAUAUCAAGACUUUUUGUUUAUGUUAGGCAAUUGUCCUACCUCAGGAACAAAGAGAAGAGGCCAAAAAAUAAGGUUAAAUAAUGCAAAGUCUCUGAUUCGAAGUACUUUGACUCUUUUUGUGGAUUUUAGGGAUGUUUGGUGGGUAACCUACACCAUUCAAUCAUUCCCAUCAUAUAAUUAAAUGAAUCUCACUUAAUAAAAUCAAGAAUCAUAUCCUGUUCUUCAUCAAAAUCAUAUUCCAAACCAAAUGAGUGUAUGACAUACGCUACAUAAAUUAUAAUAGAGUCUUGUUAACCAUUGUUCGGACAAUGGUUAAGGAACUUAAAAGUAGUAUGUUUGCAUUGGUUUUAAUAACUUUUAACUUUUAAAAAGUUAAAUUUAUCAGUUUUUAUCAUUUUUCAAUACUAUAUUUAUAUUUUUAUCCUCCAAUACCUCAAGAGCAAUGAUUAGCAUUCUCAUCCGUAAUAAUAUGAUUUACAUUUAAGAAAUUCAAGCCACCUUAGUCAUUAUUAAUCAUAUCCUCGAUUUUGACUUGUAAUAGGAGCUAGAACAGCUAGCGCAACAAUAAAUUUUUUGACAAAUACAUGUCCAUCAACAAGGACAGACAAAAUAUUUAAUUUUGUAAGAAAAAAAACUCAUUCAUAAAAUUAUAAUCAUGUUAAUAUAUGCUCUACGAACACAUGUUAAGAAUUCAAUAAAUAAUAACCAUUUAGACACAUGCUCGGAAACCACAUCAAACCAUAAGACGAGGCAAUGAUAUGCAAAUCACAUUUGGAAUCCUUCAACAACCAUAUAGGUUUUUCACACAUUCGAAGACCGUUAACUCACCUCACAUAAAUACAGGUAAAUCACACUUAAAGGUUAGAGUGUUUACAGGUAGAUCAUCCUCCUCUGCGACUCAUCAAUUGUGUCAUCGAUUUGGUUUACCCUCAGCUUCUUUUUUAUUGAUUGAUUAUAACUUUUUAAUAUAUCAACGACUAUAAUUAUUUACAUUAUAUAUAUAUAUAUAUAUAUAUAUAUAUAUAUAUAUAUAUAUAUAUUUCAAAGUCUAAAUUAGUAAAUGUGCACUUUUUUAUUUGGACAAAAAAGUCAUUCACCUUUAUUAUUUAAAACUAUUACAUUGAGGGUUACUUUUGUAACUUUAUUAUAAAAUAAUGGCUAAAAUAUGGUUUUAGCCCAUGUAAAUAUGUCUCGUUUUAGUUUUAGUCCAUGUAAAAAAAAAUUGUUUUUGGUCCCUGCAAAAUUUUUUGUUUUUGAAAAUAGUUCCUCAGGGACUAUUUUCAAAAACAAAACAUUUUGCAGGGACCUUUUUAAAAAACAAAAAAUUUUGCAGGGACCAAAAACAAAAUUUUCUUUUUACAGGGACUAAAACCAAAACGAGACAUAUUUGCAGGGACUAAAACCAUAUUUUAACCUAAAAUAAUUGUUAACUUGCAUCACUUAGCUAAUUACUUAGAUCCACUUUUGUUAUGAACACAACAAUUACAAACAUUAAACAACUAAAAAAAAGACAAAAUAUUUGUGUUUUUAGUAAAGACAAAAUAUAGUUAACUUGCACCACUUAGCUAACUUAGACUCACUUUUAAUUUUUUUUUUAUUAAUUAAAUGCAAUUGAAAAAAAUAACCUUCUAUGAAAAACAAUUGGAAUAUGGGUAAUUGAAUUUUAUUUUUUUUUCAAAUAAAAAUGUGAGCACUACUAGAAAAAGCUAAGAUACCGACGAAAUUUAGAGACGGAAUUAGAGACGGAAAAAAUCAAUGAGAGAAGAAAAUAAGGUGUUUAAAAUUCAUUAUCUGGUAGAACAGGUCUCGUGCGGUUGUUUCAGCGGGGUUGAUUUAGUCCUCAAUCCGAAGCUUCAUUACACUUGAAGCUUCUUAGUCGUGUUGUGUAGAAAUUAAACCUUAAUAUUUUGACUCAAAGCUCGUCAUGUGUUACUAAUAUCUAUUUCUAUUAAGUAUAUAUUUGUAUAACUGUGCUACAAUCUAUCAAUGGAUAUAAUCUAUCCACCUGUUUAUUUUAUAAAGAUUAAUUAUAUGAUUGUUUUAAUACAAAUAAAGACCUUAAAAGUUAAAAAAGUUAUACUCCAUAUUUCAAUACUCAAAUUUCAUGGUUGUCCAAGUAAGUUGUAACAUAUACUCAAAUUUCAAAAUAACAAUUCGUUAUUCAACAAAUUUGAAAAUGAUGCAAUGAUAAUGACAUAUAAUCAUCUUAACAUCAAAAAUAUAGCACAUGUAGUUGGAAAAAAAAAAAAAAAAAAAACGCAUGUCAAAAGUGUGUACAUUUAAGAUCGAUAAGUCAUUGUAGGAGUAAACCUAGCCACUUGUUGUACAUACAAUAUGAUAUAGAUUUUGAGAAAUGUUAUUUGUACAACUAUUUUGUGACAACUUUCUCUUUCAUACUCACAUUAUAUUCUUACUCUUUCUCAUCCUUUUUCUCUCUCCAUUAUUUUUGACCAAUACCAAAAGAGAAAAAGAAGGUUGUCAUGAAAGUUGUAUCAAAUGGUUAGCUCGAAAGAUUUGUAUGUUACUUUACCACAUGAUUUUUUUUUCGAACAAGUCAAAAUGGAAUAUUAUAUCAUCAAAGAUGGUUCAUCUCGCAUAAGGUAUGCAAAAGAGAAACACCCACCAAAAAAUACAGCUAGAUGUCUGGUGCCAUAAAAGAGCACUCCUGAAGAAAAACAGAAUAAAACAAGGCUACAAUAAAACACCCAUACAAUGUAAAGGGUGCCGCCAACAGUCAUGGUAACUAAAAGCAUAAGUAGACUUGUUUGCCUUUAACCAAGAAAAAGACAUCAAUUUAAUAUUUUCCCAAUAAUUAAUUAUUACACCUCUCUUUAAAUAUAAUAUAUUCUUAAGUAGUUUUUUUGUCUUUGUUAUAUGACCAUUAAUUUGUAUAAUUUUAUCCCAAUUAAUUUAUAUUUUUAAUUAAAUUAAAGAUGCAUCUAGUAUAACUUCUGAAAAAUGGUUAAAGAGUUGAACAUCACGUCCUUAAGGAGCAUGAACAAACUUCUUAAAAAUGGUUAAAGAGUAUGAAUGUCAACAUGUAUCUAUCAACCAAUUUUUUAAUCAAACUAACCUGUUCCAUAUGAACAUAACCUCAGAUAUGGACCAGCUCCAUGCAUGAGUGUGAGUUAGCUUAAAACUUAUGUUAUAUCUAUCAUUCUUUCUAAUAAUUUUAUUGAAUGAAUUCUAUUUUGCCCGUGCAAAAAAAGAAGUAAAAAUGAACCUUCUAGGAGAGCAAGGAAAAAAUUACUGGUUAAUGGUGAUUUUGACUGGUUUCUUAACUAUGAAGUUAUGACCUUGCACCAACGUUAAGGACUAAGUAUUUGAUCUAUUAAAUUAGGGUUACGAAAGCUCUAGUUUUGCUAAAUUAUGAAAAUACUAGUUUUGUUUAUAAUAGUGAUCAGAGGUAUAUAUCAAGACAUGUAUAUUGAUUUUGCUAAAUACUACUAAAUUGGUGAAAUUGGAAUUCCUAAAGUUUAAUAUCCCUAUAUUAGACGAUCAUAUAUCAAGACAUGUAUAUUGAAUUUGCUAACUUUGAAAACAGCAUACAAACCAAUAUAUUAAAAUAAGAGCAGUGUCAACAUUUUCUGGCAAAUAAGCUAACUUAUUCUUUUGUUUACAUUUCAUUUCAAAUUCAUACCCAACUUGGGACGCAUUGGUCCAAAAAGCAUACUCACUAAUUCAAAGGCAAUCCAUUUUUUUAAUAAUAGCUGCAUGUAUCAUAAUACUUUUCACAUUUGUAAACUUAAUUUUCAAAGGCAACCAAGAUGAAUAGUUGAGGUAAAUUGGACAAAGAAAAAACCAUAUACAAAUACGUCUAUUCCUCUCCACCACCACCACCACCACCACCAUCUAAGCCAUACAAAUACGCUUCUCCACCACCACCAGUUUACAAAUACAAGUCCCCACCUCCACCCGUCUACUCACCACCACCACCACCAGUUUACAAGUACAAGUCCCCACCUCCACCACCAGUUUACAAGUACAAGUCCCCACCUCCACCCGUGUACUCACCACCACCACCACCAGUUUACAAGUACAAGUCCCCACGUCCACCCGUUUACUCACCACCUCCACCAGUUUACAACUACAAGUCCCCACCUCCACCCGUCUACUCACCACCUCCCCCGGUUUACACGUACAAGUCACCACCUCCUCCCGUCUAUUCACCACCUCCACCAGUUUACAAGUAUAAGUCUCCUCCUCCUCCUGCUUACUCACCACCUCCACCACAUUAUAUCUACUCUUCACCACCUCCUCCUCCUCCUCCUUACCACCACUAAAUGGUGGUUUACGAUAGUAUCCCACCGUAUACUUCUUCCUAUGUACAACCCACACAAAAUACAUAAUAUUUAAAAUAUUUUUAUAUAAUUCAAUUACAGUGCUUAUAAUAUUAAUCCGAUAAAUAUCUAGUUGGGCAUAGCUUCAAAUAAAAAAAUUUGGUAACACACAUAAAUGAUAAAAUUUACCAGAUAAAAAUUUAGUGACAUCAUAUCCUUUCUUUUUUAAAUUUUAUCAUUGAUGUGUGUGCGUUUAAAUAAAGUGUUGUUGCUUUUGGAAAUAGGUUUAAAUGCGAAACUACAUAUACCUUUUAAAGUUUUAAUUUAAAAAAUUGGAUUGUUAAAAUAUUAUCAUUGGCAAUUUGUAACAAAAAAAAUGAGACCUGAUGCAGAAGGUGAGUCAUGAGGUCAUCCACUAUACAAUAUGAUCACAUUAUGAUCUUAUUAAUUUUGUUUGAUUUAAAAUUUCAAGCGAUUAAUAAUCCUAAUAAACAGUUUUAGCUAGAUUAUAUAAUGUUUAAGGCAAAACCAUUUUCUUAAUGAAAGAUAUUGAUAUAUUUAUGUGUACAUAUACUUUGCAGGGUUUGAGGAAUAUAAUGGAAAUAAUAAAGAGAAGACAGUGCAAAGCAGGAAAGAUGCAUCAAUUCACAAUUAUAUAGCACAAUAAAAACAACAACCUAAGCAGUUUCCACGCACUCUGAUUCAGAAAAUGUCACUCCUUUUUUCUUCAUUUUAUUUAUGAGAUUAUUAUUCUCAUUAUUGUGCUUUGAUGUUUGAAUUUAUACUGUUGUAAAGCACUGUGUGUAAUAUUAUUCAAAUAAAUAGAGAACGAUUCUGAAAUUUGUCAUAUUGUAAAGAAUUGAAUAUAUACGGUGGCAGAGCCAAUAAUUUUAUCGAGUUUGAAUAAAAAAUUUACCGCAGAUUCACAUGCGACAUAAUAUAUAAAUAGUCAUAAAUCGAAAUAAAAUAGGCUCAUCAUUUUAUCGAUAAAAAUUACAAUUUAUUUGAAAUAAGAAAGAUGAAACAUAACCUGUCAAUAAUGUGCUAAAUAAAAUUAGAAGGUAAAUGCCCUUCCCGAGACCUCUUUGCGGUGAAUGUUCGAAUAAUAUCAACAACAUCAAGUGACUUGAAUUUCUCCCACUCGGUGUAACAUAUCAUCAAGUCAUUGAACCACACAAUGUUGAUCUUGUUGGUAACAAUUUUUUCUCACGGGCUUAUAAGAUUAUUUUACCAGCUUAUUGACAGGGCUUGAUAACUGAUGGACUUUCAACUUUUGUUGAUGUUUGUAAUAACUUUGGCGCACCCGCUAUUGUUGAAGAUCCACAAAUUAGAAGUUAAAAUCUGAUUCAUUAUGCUUUGAUGUAGAAAUGAUUGUAAGUUUUUUUGGGUAUGAAGUGAUUGUAUGUCUUUUUUUUUUGUCUAAUAAGCUAUUAUAAAUAGUGAUUCAAAUUUUGUUACCAUAAAUUAAAUGAGCAAUGGAGUAUAUGUAAAUUUUGAUUUAUGCGAGUAUUGAGUAUUUCCGUGAGUAUUGGUUUGGAUGAAUGGUAUAAUAGUUCAUAGUUAGGGAGAAUUAUUCUAAUUAAGCCACUUCAAGAAUUUAUUCUAAAAAUUGAUUAUUGUAAUCAAUUUUAAAUUCCAAUAAUAUUGAUUAUAAUAUUUUAUUAUAUUUAUUAAACUAAUUUUAGUAGUAAUUUUAUGAAUUAUUCCUUUUUAGAAUUUAUAGUAGAAUAGAAAAUAUAAAAUAAAAUAAAACAAUGAUAAGAUUUAGUGACAGCCGCAACCGCAGGUAUAGGUCCGUAAUGUUUUUAAAAUGGUCUACUUGGAAUUACAUACGUUUUGUCCGUAGGUAAAGGUGGAAAAUAUGCAGCGACAUCCAUUUGACAAUGACAGACGGAUUUAGCUACGGAAAUUUAUCCUAGAGUGACGGAUUUUUGUUGUCACUACAAGUUAAAUUUCUUGUAGCGAUACAAAGAAAGUAUCGGUUAAGCCCGGGCAUGUACCCAGACUAGAUGGGUUGUAAAACCGCUCCUGAAAAUAUACAGAAUACAUGCAUGAUUCAAAAACUAUCUAAUUUUUCUGGAAAAAAGGCUAAACUGCAGUUUUGACCUCCUAACUUUGUAAAUGUUGGGAUUUUGGCCCCCUUUUAAAAAAAUGAAAAUUUUCCUCCCCUAUGUUUUAGCCCCUUUGCAAAAGUGACCAUUUGGUCAAUUUUGACCGGGUCAACACGGAGGUGGCACUUCAUUAAUGGUGCGGGCACGCUACAUGUGUAUUUCGCAAAUUUUUUAAAUCAAAAUGCCACUUGUGUAUUUACUUGAAUUAAGAAAAAAAAAACUAUAUAAAGGUCUUGCACGUGUGAAGUCUUUCAGAUUCUAGGGUUAAAAAAUUUCCCAAAUAUUAACAUCAAUGAAAAACCACAAACCCCUAAGUUUCCAAAUCAAAUCUUCAUCCAUAAUCUCCUUCCCAAAUUGUUUCUGAAUUCGAAUAUCCUUCAUAAAUCGAUUGUCAGGUUUUUCUUCAUCUUUGUUUGUUGCGAAAAUGAAAUGGGUUGAAGAUGGAAAGGCGGCGACGAGUACAGGUUCGAAGAAGAAGAAGAAUAAAGAUGCGACAGGGAGUACAGGAACAAAGAAGAAGAAGAAGGAUGCGACAACGACUAAAGGUUCAGAGAAGACGAGAGAUUUGAAUAUGGAAGUUCAAUCAACUCAAGGAAACAUGUUCAAUGGAAAGAUUCCCGACAUGGAUGCUUCAUAGUAAGCGUUUUUUUGUUUUCAUAUGUCUAUUAACUAUAAAGUAAAGCUCAUGUUACAUUAUUUCUGAAUAAAAAAGGGUUGUUGGACCCAGAAACAGUUGAAGAUGAAUGGUUACAUGCCAUUUUUCGUUUUCCGAUCUGCAAACACACAAAACAAAUCGACCUGGAAGAAAGGAUGUAGAGGAAGAAUCGAUUUCAGAUAGGUAAUGUGAAGGAUGGUUGAAGAAGAUGAAGUUUCGAUUAUGGAGAAGAAUGGAUGAAGAAGAGCGAAUGAAGAAGAAAGGUUGAAGAAUUGGGGGUUUUUAAGGUUGGAGAUUUUUACCGUUGGAACUCUCACGUGCCAAUCCUUUAUCUAUUAUUUUUUUUAAUUCAAGUAAUACAUAGGUGGCAUUUUUAUUUUAAAAAAAAUGGCAAAAUACACAUGUGGCGUGCCAACACCAUUAAUGAAGUGCCACCUCCGUGUUGAUCUGGUCAAAAUUGACCAAAAUGUCACUUUUUCAAAGGGGCUAAAACACGGGGGGAGGGGGGGCAAAAUUUUGAUUUUUUUUUUAAUAGGGGGACAAAAUCGCAACAUUGACAAUGUUAGGGGGGACAAAAUCUGCUCCUUUCCGUCCCUUUGGUUUCGAUAAGAGUGGUUAAGUACCAUAUUGAGUGGUUUUAAUCGAGCGAUUAAGCCAUAUCUUUUAGGUGUAUAUACUCGAACAAUUACAUAUUGUGCAAUACGUGAUUGAAUAGUGAUAUGAGCUGUUUUAUUCUGGAGGCGACGCGGUUGUUAGUCUACAUUGCACAAACUUGGGUAGUGCCGCGAAACGUCUUAAAGAGAGCGACCUGGUCGUGACUCAACCUGAUAAUUUAUUCGGUACUAGUUUCUGAUUUGUAAUCUCAACAAAUAUCUCAUGAGCUAUAUUCUUCGGUAGUAGGCUUCAGUUUAUGUCCAACAAUAUAAAUAGGGGGAUUCGAAGAAUCCUAACCGUUGCUUACUUUUCUGUAACCAAAACAGGUAACUUGCUAUGUUGCAAACAGAUAAACAUUGCAAUCUCUAACCUUUAAACUCUUUUAUUUUAUAUCGUCACCUUAAAAUAAGUAACGUGAAUUGUUAGGACGAAAUGACAAUCCAUGUGGAUACGAUACUGUACUUAUCACUUUAUUACUUGGUAAACGAUUUGGUACACUUGCAUAAUCCGCACAUCAAUAAUCUUUGUUUGUUAGAAGUUUCUUGCUUGUAUGCUUGAGCAUUGAAAGUCUCUUGCUUGUGUGGCUGAGCAAUUGUAAUCUUGUAUGAUUAUAGUAAAAAAUCUCUUGUAAGUGACAAGGGUAUUAAACUACUUCGGGAUUGAUACCUUGAAACGCUUACCAGAAGGCCAUCGACAUAUAAAUAGACUUUACACAUCUUGUGCUCCAAUGUGUACCUUUAAUAUAAGUCAUUUUGCCUAUUAAAAAAGCAAAGAUGAAUUGAUUUAAAAGUUAACAAACCCAAGUCACACCUCAUCAAGGAACAAAAAGUCAGCAUUUACUUAGCAUUCAUAUAUCAAGACUUUUGGGUUAGGUUAGGCAAUUGUACCACAUCAGGAACAUUUAGAAGAGGCCAAAAAAUAAGGUUAAUUAAAUAAUGCAAAGGCUCUAAUUCGAACUACUUUGACUCUUUGUGUGGAUUUUAGGUAUGUUUGGUGGGUAACCUAUAUCAUUCAAUCAUUCCCAUCAUAUCAUAUAAUUAAAUAAAUCCCACUUAAUAAAAUUGAGAAUCAUGUUCAUGAUCAAGUUGGUGUAUGCUUAGAACAGUCUCAUGGUAUAAUUAAUUUGUCCCUACUGAACAAAAUCAUAAUUUAGAAACAUUCAUAAAUUAUAAAUAAUAAUACAAUCUUAGUCAUUUAUUAAUCAUAUCCUCAAUUUUGACCUGCAAUAGGAGCUAGCACACAGCUAGCGCAGAAAUAUAUUUUUUCCAAAUUCAUGUCUGUUACUUAUAGUUGUCAAAAAAAAAAAAAAUGUCUAUUACUUAUAGAGACAGAUCAAUUAUUUAUUUUUUACAAGGACAAAAUUCAUACUUAAAAUUAUAAGACUAAAAGUAUAUAAAAUACUUUAAUUAGAGUCUAUCAUUGACUAAGGUAAAGGUUAGAGUUUUUACAGGUAGAACAUUCCAUCAACUGUGGUUUACCCUCGACUUCUUUUUUAUUUAUUUAUUGAUUAUAACUUUUUAAUAUAAAAACAACCAUAUUUUUUAAAUACAAAUAACUAUAAUCAGUUUUCUUAUUUAUUUGCAGCUUAAUUCAGUUGGUUUGAAUAAUGCAUAAUAUAUGCAAGGUCCGUGGUUCAAAUCCCGGCCACCACAAAAAAAAAUGUAUUGUAAAAAAAAUGUAUAAUAUAUAUAUAUAGACACACACUAUAUCUUUUUCAACUUUUUUGGGCUGACUUUUUCUAUUUCUAAAAAUGUCUUCAAUUUUCAAUACAAAAACACAUGUAACAAAUAGAUAAGAACAAACGUAAAUAUUAAAAAAAUGUAACAAACUCGAUAUGAAUAUAUAUAUAUGUGUGUGUGUGUGUGUCUGGUUUUUUCCUUUAUCAUUUAAAAAGUGUAACAAAUAGAUGAGUAUAUUUAUACUUACUUUUUCAUUAUCUCAAUUAUAUCUUUAAACAAUUUUUUUUUCUAUAAUAAAGAUUGUUGUUUUUAUCAUUAAAAAAAAAUUAGAUUAUAUUUUUUUUGUUAUAUUGUUGGUGUCAUUGAAAUAGAUAAUCAUUGUUAGUUUGAUUUGUUAUAACUUAAAGCAACAAACAUUUAUGUUUUGUUAGAAUAAAAAUCAAAAUUUAUUAAAAAAAACAUGCGUUCAUAAAUUGCAAUAAAAAGAAGGGAAAUAGAUGAGUUUGAACAGACUUUUUCAUUACUUGUUUUAACCUUCAUUUAAAAUAUUUUAUUUACAAUUUUAUCAUUUAAUAAUAUUAUUUUAAAUUUUAAUCAAAAAAUUGAAUCCUAUUAAAAUAGGAAAUAUGCCACUACAAUAGAAACAAUAUUAUCAAUAUUAUAUAAGAAGAGGAUAGAUAUUUUGAGCUGAAUUUUUAUAAUUCCAAUUAUAUUCUUAAACAAAUUUUCUUAUAUUAAUGUUAUAUUGUUGGUGGUAUUAAAAAAUAGUAUUUAUGUUAUAUUUGUUAAAUUAUUAUUAUUAUUGAAAAAGAUAACAUGUUUUUCUGAGUUUAUACUUAUAAUUUUGUUACAUACUCUCGUUUCUUGUUUUUUUUUAUUAAAUAUAUAUAAACAACGGAAGUGACCCUUCCCGUAUAAGAUGUGUUAAGGAAGGUCAACUAGAGUUUGUACAAAGACAGCAAAGCCAAAAACAUAGGAGAACUGCCGCAAAACACGAAAGAUAUAAUAAAUAAGGGUUGUUUUUUCUUUCUUUAAAAAAAAAACAAAAAGAAAUAAGGGUAGUGUUAACUUGUGCUUUUAAGACACAAGUUAAGAAUUUAAAAAUGGAAUUAAAUCAUAAAUUAUGUCUUGAAAAGAUAAGAUUUUGAAUUUCUAGAAUAUUGAAUGCACAAUUUUCAACAAAAUAUUUCUAUUUUUAGUUUCUUAACUUGUGCCUUGAGUACAAAAAUUAACAUUUCCUUGCAAAUAAAUGCCCAAACAAAAUAAAUGUAAGUAUACUCUCGUUUCUAGUUUGUUUAAUAUCUAUUUCUAUCAAGUAUAUAUUUGUAUACUUUAUGCUACAAUCCAUCAAUGGAUAUCAUAUAUACAUUCACCUGUUUAUUUUAUAAAGAUUAUGGAACAAUUAUAAACACAAGGAAAAAGUAGAAAACAGCGAGAGAAAGAAAGAGAGAACACAAAAUAAUUUGUUUACCCAGUUCGGUUCAAAUUGACCUAGUCCGAGGCAGAGAGCAGCCCUCCGUUCCACUAUAAUGAUGAGUAACUUUACAAAAGAGAUAUCAAUGAGUUACAAGAAUAAGUCUCCAAACCUAAUUGUACCCAAAGUCUCAAUCUCUUCCCGUGAACAAGAGACUCAAUCCUAAUAGUGUUUCCCAAGGUGAAUCAACAACAACCCUAGUUUCUCCCGCUUAGAGAAAUCUCUCUAAAACCUUGGUUUGUUGUCUGUUUCUAAACCCUUGUUUUCAGCCCCUUCUAUCUCAAGGUUUACAUGUGAUACAAGGUUUAUAUUUAUAGUAAAAGUAAUCGCUAAAAAAUUGGAACAAAUCUCACGCUGAAAAGUACAUUUUAUUUUUAUGCAUCAGUGUAAAAUCGUACUACGAUUUUCCAAAUCGUAUUUCGAUUUUUCCAAAAUGGAAGUGCCAAAUCUGAUCCAAAAAUCGUACUACGAUUUUCCAAAUCAUGCUACAAAUUUGACAGCUUCCAGAUUUUAAUUUUGAGUCACUUUUACAACAAAGACCUUAAAGUUUGUGGUAUUAUAUACUUAAUAUAAUACUCCCAUGGCAACCUGAUUAGCUCCCUUGUUAUUAGAAAGUUACACGCAAUUUCAGGGUUUGGUUGUAUUAUAUCCUGUCCAGCUAAGUUGUAACAUACUCAAAUUUCCAAAUAAAAAUUCGUUAUUCAACAAAUUUGAAAAUGAUGCAGUGAUAAUGACAUAUAAUCAUCUAACACAUGUAAUCAUAUAACCAGUUUGGCUAGGUGAUACUUAUGGUAGUUGGACAAAAAAAAUAUCACAUGUCAAAUGUGUGUACAUUUAAGAUUGAUAAGUCAUUGAAUGAGAAACUUAGCCACUUGUUGUACAUACAAAUAUUUGUACAACUUUUAGAUAAUUUUCUAUUUUAUAUUCACAUUAUAUUUUUACUCUUUUUUUUUCUUUUUUUUCUUUAUUGUUUUUUAUCAAUAAAAAUAGAGAAAAUGAAAAUUAUCAAAAAUAUUGUAUCAAAUGGUUGUUCAAAUAUUAUUGCUCAAAAUAUACAAUAUGAUAUAAUUUUCCAGGAUCGAAAGAUCUAAAUAUGUUCCUUUCCCACAUAAUUAAUUAUUACACCUGUCUUUAAAUAUAAUAUCUUUUUUUUUUUUAAUUUUUAGUAGUUCUCAUGUCUUUGUUAUACGACCGUUAAUUUGUAUAAUUUUAUUUCCAUUAAUUUAUAUUUUUUUUAAUUAAAUCAAAGGUGCAUCUAAUAUACUUUUUUUUUAAGAGGCUAAAAUGAAAUACAUUACCAAAACAAGAUAUUUUUCCUAGCACAAGAUGUACAAAGGAAGAACAAUAGAGUCAAUAGAAUAUGUACAAUCAAGCAGAAAGAAAGCACCAGAGACCUAUAAGCAUGAAACAGAACUAAGUAGUGCCCAAAAUAACUAAUGGACUAAGCAACAAACCAUGAAAAUUAAACGAAAGAGAGACAAGUUUCGCCUUCAACCACGUAAAGGAAAGAACCUUAAUCUAAUAUAACUUCUUAAAAAUAGUUAAAGAGUUGAACAUUACCACCUUAAAGAGUAUGAACAAACUUUUUAAAUAUGGUUAAACAGGAUGAAUGUCACGUAUUUACAGUACAUAUAUCUUUGGUUUUUAUAUGUGUUUAGUCUCUGUAUAUGGGGUCAUUUAAAAAAUUAAUCAUUUAAAAUGGUCUCUACAUUCCUUCAUUAUGACAUUUUGCCCUCCCAAAAAUUAAUCAUUAAAAAUUUGGUCCCCCCUACUCAAUCACUGUCACGUCACUGGAUUAGCUGACGUGGUACAUUGACUCAGCAAAGUUUGAUGUGAAGUGACAAAAAUAGCCCUAACACUCUGUUUGGUAUGAGAGAAUUACAGCAGAGAGAGAUAUUGAAGAGAGAAAGAGAAGAGAAAUAUGGUAUUUCUCUUGUUUGGCAAAGGCAAGAAAGAGGGAGGAGAGAUAAGUUUUGCGUGGGAUCCACGUGUUUUUUGUUCGCCCCUAUAAACGAAGAAAGAAGAAAGAGGAGAGAAAUAUACAUUUACUCCCUUUGCCUUUUAUACCCUUCAAUUUAAGACACAACACACCUUUUUUUUUUCUCAUUACUUUGUUUUUAUUCUUAAUAGGCUUAUCUAAAAAUUAUUUCAAGGACAUUUGUACUUUAAAAAAAAAAAAAUUGAAGAAGCUAAACUAACCCCCUCAAAUUGGCACUAGAGAGAAUCGAACUUGAAACCUUGAGGAGGAGCACACUCCCAGGUCCCAAGCCAAUACCACUAGGCCAACCCAAGUGGGUUUGUACUUUUAAAAAUUAAUCACACUUCUCUCUCUUCUAUUUCUCUUAAUUUUAACCAAACAAUACCUUAAAUCUAUUCUAUUUUUCAUUUUUUUCUCUCUUCUCAUACUCUCUCUCACCUAUUUCUCUCUUCUCAAUUUCUUCUUUCAACCAAACACACCCUAAGUAAUUUCGCUGCCCUCUUAUGGAAGGAGGGGCAUUUACUUUACAAGUAAAUAAAGUAUCUUUUUUAAUUUAAAAUUUCCUCUUUAUGGUUUUCUUAACUAAUGUCCUGGGUAGGGCUAGACAAGGACCCGCGACCCGGCCCAACCCGAAAAAACCGAAGAAAAAAAACCGAGCUGAGUGGGUUAAAGCAGGUCCGCGGGUCAAACGUGUCAUAAAUGCGGGUUCACAAGGGUAUACAUGGGCAGAGGCGGGUAACGGACCUUCACCUGCGGGUACCCGAACCCGCCAGUAUUGGAUAAGUAAAAACGACGUCGUUUUGAAGAGUGGGGAGACCACUAACCCUAGAUCUAACCCAUUCAUUUCAUUUCUUCUAAAAAAUUCUCUCAUUCACCUCACACUCUUUCACCUUCCUCUUCAAACCCUAGUGCCGCCGCCGCAUCUAACCACCACCACCACACCAUCAAAUCCUCCUACCAACAUGAAUCACCACUUUCCAACUUGAUUCCCUUUGUUUUACGCCGUUCUCUGUCAAUCCACGCAGAAAAAUGGAGGCAGAUCCUGAAACUCUCUCUCACUCUCAGUAGCUAACACCACUGUAGAACCGUAAAUCGCCGUCGUUUUUGUUUCAUGAAUCACGUCUCUGCUCUGCAUAUGCUUCAGAUCUAAAGGUUAGAUAUUUUGUUUUUAAUCUUUGUAAUUUUUUAUUUUUAUUUAGGGUUUAUGAGUGUCUCACCACAUGCUUUUGUUUUUGUUUGAUGAUUCACAUCCAUGCUCCGCGUAUGCUUCAAAUCUGAAGGUUGGUUUUUGUUACAUUUUUCAUAUUUUGUGCUUUGAUUUUUUCAAUUCUUGCUUCUAACAUUUUUUUUUUGUUUCAAUCUCAUCUCUGCUGCUUAUGCAUUUGCUGAAGAUUUUUUUUUUGUUUCAAUCUCAUUUUCUCAGACCGGCUUAGGAAACUUCCAUAUCACUGAAUAUUUUUCCAGAUCCGAGAGGUAAUCUUCCUUCUUGACAUCUAGAUCUGAGAGGUAAUGAUUUAUCUUAAUAUAUUUAGUUUUGUAUUUGUUGAGUUUAUCUAUGUCUUUGAUGUAUAUUUUGUUGAGUUUAUGCAUGAUUAUUAAUGUCUAUAGCUUCUGACUUGAUUAUGUUUAUGCAUACUUUGUUGAUUCUUAUACUUCUUCCUUGGAGUUCAUUUUUUCUUUGUUUCUUUCUUAUCCUAAUGGUUUGUUGUUUAUCUAUUUAUUUUGUUUGUAGUAUUCUAAUGGUCCAUUAAUUAUCUUGUUUGUAUAGACACAUGAAAACUGAUACUGCUAGUGUGAAUCCUUUGGCUCAAAUUCCAAUUCUAGUGCAAGGCCAAGGACCUGAACAUGCUAAGGUAGUGCUAAAACUAAAGAAAAGAAAACCUGCUAGACCUCCUUCAAUGGUUUGGAGACAUUUUAUGAAGAAAAAAGACACUGCCUUUUGUAACUAUUGCUUCACUUCUUUUGUUUCAAAUGCUUCCAACCAUCGAACUAACAACAUGCUUAAACACAUGAUGAUUUGUCCAAAAACAUGAAGGUAGUUUUUUUAUUACUCUGAGUUAUGUUGAUUUAGUAAUUUUAUUGUAACUUUGUAUUUGAUUUAGUCUAUUUUAACUCUAUUUUGGUAGAUGUCUUUGAUGUUAGUUUGCUAGUGUUAUAUUUUGUGGCUUUGAUUUAUUAGUACUAAUGUAUAUUUUUUAUAUUGUUUUUCACAGGUUAACAAUAUUCUUACUUGCUAUGAUGGUAUCUCUUGAUCUAUUGUGAAUCAAGAUAUACCAAGGAGGUGUUAUUUUUUGUUAUUCAGAUCCAGUUUUAGUAUUAUUAUAUUCAAGACCACUAUAUUUAGUUUUUUAUUUAUUAAGGAUAUGUAAAUUGUUAAACUUAUUUUUAUUGGUUGUGUAAGUUAAAUUAAGGCUCGAUAUCAAAUGGGAAAAUGAGACAUCAUCAUCCCCCUUUAACAAGCUUCUUAAAGGAAAAAAUUUAACAAAAUUAUGACAAUAUGAUCUAAGUUAAAUAAACAUACAAAAUGGUUUAAUACAAGAGAAAAUGAAACACUACAAAAUUUGUUGGGGCAGAAAUUCUAAAUGGCACAUUAAAAAUGAACAUAAAAAAUGGUCCAUUACAGUGAAAUUAAAAAUAAAUCGCAACAAAAUUAAUUGGGCCAGAAAUGGUUGAAUGACCCAUUAAUUGGUCCAACCCGUUUGAACCCAACCGUUUAACCCGUAACCCGAUUCACCCGAACCCAACCAAUCCGACUCCAUUAUUUGGGUAGAAAUGGGUGUGUAUUCUACACCCGCAGGUUGGGCUGGAGUAGAGGUUUGGACCCGAACCCGCCCGAUGUCCACCCCUAGUCCCGGGGCACUGGUUAACAUAAACCUAAAACAAAAAUAGAAAAUAAUGACCUAAGUUUUCUAAUAAUUGAUAUUUUAUUAGCUUAAAACUUUUGUUAUAUCGAUCAUUCCUUUCCACUCUUUGUUCUUGGUUGUGUUUUAAUGAAAAAAAAGAAGUAAAAAUGAACCUUCUAUGAGAGCAAGGAAAAAAUUACUGGUUAAGCCUUAUGACCUUGCACCAACUCUAAGGACAUUAAUUAUGUUAUAUAGCAAGAUAUCCUCUCAUAAAUUGGUGAAAUUGGAAUUCCUAAAGUUUAGUUUCCCUAUAUUAGACGAUCAUAUAUCAAGACAUGGAUAUUAUUUUGCUAACUUUGAAAACAGCAUACAAACCAAAAUAGUACGUAUUAAAAUAAGAGCACCGUCAACAUUUUCUAGCUAAUAAGCUAACUUACUUUAUUCUUUUGUUUACAUUUCAUUUCAAAUUCAUGCCCAACUUGGGACGCAUUGGUCCAAAAAGCAUACUCAUUUAUUCAAUGGGAAAAACUUUUUUUAAUGGGUCUUGCUGACCAUUGCUCGAUGGCAAUGGUUAAGGAAGGCAAAAGUAGCAUGUUUGUAUUGAUUUCAACAACAUUUUGACUUUUAAAAAAUUAAAUUUAUCACUUUUCACCAUUUACCAAUGCUAUAUUUCUAUUUUUAUCCACUUAUCCAAUGCGCCAAACGCAAUGAUUAGCGUUCUCAUUUUUUAAUAAUAGCUGCAAUGUUACAUAAUCGUUUUCACAUCUGUAUACUUAGUUUGUCUUAAAAAGACAGUCACAUUGAAUAUUUAAUUAAAAUUUUAUUUUUAUUCAAUUAUACACUAUAAUUGAUAUUAAGCGCCAUUAAAAAAAUUAUUAAGUGGAUAACAAAUUAUUAUUCACUAUAAUUUUACUAUAAUUAUUAUUCUUCACUUUGAAUUACCAAGGUAAUUUAAUAAAAUUAAUAUUCUAUGUGACGUAUUUGUAAUUACUUCCUAAUUCACGUGAAAUGAUUUACUUUGCUAGUUAUUAGAAUUUUAAUUUAUUAUAAUAUUUUUCUUUUUGCUGUUGGAUAAUAGGUGAAUUAUAAAAUGUGUCAAAUCAUAGUACACCAACCAAGAUGAAUUGUUGAGGUAAAAUGGAUAAAGAAAAAACUAUAUAAAGGGUACUACUAUCUUUCAUAAGAGCAACAACAAAACACACUUUAGGAAAAUAUGAGGUUCCAAAUGGCCUCCAUUACUCUUACUAUUGCAUUCACGAUAAUCUCUCUUAGCCUGCCAUCCCAAAUUUCAGCAAACAAUUACGUCUAUUCAUCUCCACCACCACCAUCUAAGCCAUACAAAUACGCUUCCCCACCACCACCAGUUUACAAGUAUAAAUCACCACCCCCACCUGUCUACUCACCACCUCCACCUGUCUACUCACCACCACCACCAGUUUACAAGUACAAGUCACCCCCUCCACCUGUCUACUCACCACCUCCACCAGUUUACAAGUACAAGUCCCCACCUCCACCCGUCUACUCACCACCUCCCCCGGUUUAUAAGUACAAGUCACCACCUCCUCCCGUCUAUUCACCACCUCCACCAGUUUACAAGUAUAAGUCUCCUCCUCCUCCUGCAUACUCACCACCUCCACCACAUUAUAUCUACUCUUCACCACCUCCUCCUUACCACCACUAAAUGGUGGUUUACGAUAGUAUCCCACGGUAUACUUCUUAUUACAUACAACCCACACAAAAUACUUUUAUAUAAUUCAAUUACAGUGGUUAUAAUAUUAAUCUGAUAAAUAUCUAGUUAGACAUAGCUUCAAAUAAAAAAAUAUUUGGUAACACAUAUAAAUGAUAAAAUUUAGCAGAUAAAAAUUUAAUGAUAUCAUUUAAUAUCUUUUCUUCUUAAAAUUUUAUCAUUUAUGUGUGCACGCCCAAAUAAAGUGUCGUGGCUUUUGAAAAGUUUCUUAUAAACCUUGUGGAAAUAGGUUUAAAUGUGAAAUUACAUAUACUUUUUAAAGUUUUAAUUUAAAAAAUUCGAUUGUUCAAUCUUUUAAAAUAUUAUUAUUGGCAAUUUGAAACAAUAAAGUUGAGACCUGAUGCAGAAGGUGAGUGCAUGAGGUCAACCACUAUAGAUUAUGAUCAUAUUAUAGAACUUAGCUAGAAAAGAAAAAAUAUAGUUAUAUGCUUCUUAUUAAUUUUGUUUGAUUUAAAAUUUCAAGCGAUUAAUAAUCCUAAUAAACAGUUUUAGCUAGAUUGAAUAAUGUUUAAGGCAAAACCAUUUUCUUAAUGAAAGAUAUUGAUAUAUUUAUGUGUGCAUAUACUUUGCAGGGUUUGAGGAAUAUAAUUGAAAUAAAGAGAAGACAGUGCAAAGCAGGAAAGAUGUCACUCUGAUUCAGAAAAUGUCACUCUAUUAUUUUUCAUUUGUUUGUUUUAUGAGAUUAUAUUCUCAUUAUUGUGCUUGAUGUUUGAAUUUAUACUGUUGUAAAGCACUCUGUGUAAUAUUAUUCAAAUAAAUAGAGAACGAUUCUGAAAUUUGUCAUAUUGUAAAGAAUUGGAUAUACCUAAUAUUUGAAUGCAUUUUCGAUCCCUUAACUUUUAAAAAAUUGUGAUUUAUAGAAAUAUAGUCUUUUAACCCUUUAUUUUUAGUAAAAUAUGUUCUUUUGUCCCUCUAUCUUUAGGGAAAUAUGCUAUUUUGAUUUCUUAUUUUUACAAAAAGUAGUAAUUUUGCUUGCUGUUUUAGAACACGUGGUAUCUUCUCAACAGUUUUGCUGCAUUUUGUAAAUUAAAGGUAAAAUAAUUUUUUUUUUUAUUAGAGGAUCAAAAUCGCAACUUUUUAAAAGUUAAAUCAUCAAAAAUACAUUUAAGCCUAUACAUAAUACAUUAUAUGCAAACUUCAAAAACUAUCUAAUUUGAUGGCGGUAUAUGUCAAUCACUUUAUAUCCUAAUCAUCCUCUAUUUCAUGUUGGAUCUGUCUAACUUUUUGAUGAUAUGGAUAGUGGGUCCAAUCAAGGUGAUUCAAUAUCCAACGGAAACGUCUAAACACGUUUUGACUUCCAACAUAAGGCAUUGCCCCUAACUUCGGUUAACAAUAUUGGGUUUCAGUAAUAACAAAGAGACGGCUAGAGUUGUUUAAUAAUAUUUUAAUAGCAUUACGUUACAAAAGGUUAUUGGAGAAUGUAUAUAUAAAAUCUAAUAAACAACUAAAUUAGUAAUAUAAAUAUCCAAUAGUUUAAACUCAAUCCUUUAUUAUCUAAUUUCUUUUCUCAAAUUCACGACUCAUCAACAAGAAGAAUUAUGAGUUUGUCAAAUCAAAUAGGAGGACGAACGAAGCGGAAGCUGGUGGGCAUGUAACGUCUGAGGCUAACGAGGAUUGAGAGUGGUCGCUGGUGCACAAGUUAAGAGGAUGAGCUGCUCCUGACAUCUUCUAGUCAAACCGAAUCACAUUGGAAUGAGAGGAAUCCUGAGACCGUGCAGAUAUGAACUGCAUGAUUGAAGAAAGACUUAUAAAUUUUUUUGGCACUAUCUAUAUCAACAAGAUGCAUCUUCUUUUUUAUAAUUCAUUCCAUAAGAACUCCACAGUUAAGCAUGUUUGACAUGGAGCAAUUUUAGGAUGGAUGACCUUUUAGAAAGUUUUCCAGAAAACGUGUGAGUUUGGACAAAACACACUGAAAAGACUCAUGUUGGUUUUGGGGUCAGUCGGUCAGCAAUACUUAAAAUCGCCUCAAUAUUAUAAGAAACAUAAUAAAUAAUAUAAAGUUCUAACACUGCCCCUCAAAUGAAAGAUGGAAUGAUAUUGAAGUGAAAACUCGCGCUAUAUUGAGUGAAAUUUUAUAAACUUUCAGUCUUUAUUUCUGUCAAUGUUAGUUUUUUUGGUCAUCUAACUCAAAUUUGAAAAUUUUCCUGUUAUCUUGAACAGUUUCUAGUUCACUUUGUUAAGUUACUACAACUAAUAAAAAUACACUGAAUUUUCAAUCUAGAGACAUAAUUCAGUUUAUUUUGAUGAGUAGCAAAUUUUUAUUCUUUUUGAAAUCAUAAAAUCCUGAUCCUUCACUUUUACUCAAAUUAUAUAUGUCCGUUGUCUUAAGAUAGAUGGACAUUUAUAUGAAAGUCUUGGUUUGAUUCAAGUUGAGUAAAAUAUGGUCAAAUUUGGGGAUUAAAAAUACAUAGUAUUUAUAUUUUGCUUAUGUCAUAUAAGCUGCUAUGAUCUAUUUCCUCUCACUUUUAUAGGUCUUGGUGUUGAAUAAGAAACUAAGAUUUUAAAUUGUAGUUGAUUCGCGGAAUGAGCAAAGUGAUCCUAGUGAGCUAGUUUCAAAGGGUUGUGAACUACAAAGUUUGAUGGGCGAACCAGAGGUGAGGUCAAAGAAAGGAAUUGAAGAGGGUUUCAUGGAAGAAGCAAGUGAACAUUCGAUAGGCAAACAACAUUUCUCCUAGCCAAGUAAGGCGGUGUUAGUGACCCUUUGUGUUGUGAAUUCGAUGAAAAAUCACACCAAUAACAACUUGAUGUGUGGAGCAAGGGAUAAUUAAGCAACCAAAAUCAAAGCGUAUGAAAGUUAUAAAUACAAGCCAAAAGUAGAAAACAACGGCGAGAAGAACACAAAGAAGAAGAAGAACACAAAGAAACUUGUUGACCCAGUUCGGUCCAAUCUGACCUAGUCUGGGGGAGAGAGCAGCCCUCCAAUCCACUAUAUGAUGAGUUUCGUUACAAAGAGAAAUCAAUGGGUUACAAGAAUAAGUCUCCCGAUUAAUUCUACUCAAAGUCCCAAUCUCUUCCCGUAACCAAGAGACUCCAAUCCUAAUAGUGUUUCCCAAGGUGAAUCAACCCACAAACCCUAGUGUUUGCUCCUAAGAGACAAACUCUAUACAAACCCUAGUUUUGUUGUUGCUUUUCUAAACCCUUGUUUCAGCCCCCUCUAUCUCAAAGUUUGCUUUGAUACAAGGUCUAUAUUUAUAGUAAAAGUAUAACUCAUAAAUUUGGAACAAAUACCACACUGAAGAUUCGUUUUUUUUUUCUCCUUCAGUGAAAGAAUAUUUGCAUCAAAAAUAUAAUAUUCCCUUUCAAAAUAUAUUUGCAUCAAAUCGUUCUUCAUACGAUACAAAAAUAUAUUUAUUGUCCAUAAAUAUAUUUUCAGCACAAUAUAUAUUUGAAACAAAUCUUUUAUAUUUUUAGCAACAAUAUUCUCCAUCCAUCAAUUUUUGAGUCAUACUACAACACUUUGGAUGAGCUCGCUUUUCCCUCCACCUGAAGAAACUUAAGAUCGCUAGACGAGCAAAUUUUUCUAGGAAAAUAUGCACUUUUUUUACUUAUAUAUAAAUAGAUGUAAUACACAAUUCAGAGAUAUCUUACGCAUCUUAAACUUGUUGUUAGAGAGAACGGAGAGGAGAACAUAGAUUCAUCAUUGCAGAAUUUAUCAAUUCUUUUAUUUCAGGCUCUAGGUGCUUGUUUCAAACCAUAUAAGGCUUUGCUCAAUCUGAACACUCUAUCUUUCGUCCCUUUGAUUGUGAAACUAGGUGGUUGAGUGACAUACACAGUCUCUUCUAAUGUACCAUUCAGAAAUGCAAACUUUACUAGUUGCUAAUACUAUAACCAAUCUGAUAGUUUCAUGUCUUGCAUCUGGUGAGAAAACUUUAGUGUAAUCAAAACCUUCCUUCUAAAUAAACCUCUAGCCAAAAGCCUUGCUUCGUGAUUCACAAUCUUCCCUUCUUGAUUAAAUUUUAACUUGAAAACCAAUUUUAUAUCUAUUGCCUUUUUUCCAUCUCGAAGCUUUAUCAGUUCACAAGUCUGACUCUUCUCAAUAGAUUUUAGUUCACCUAUCAUAGCUUCCUUUAAUGCCUUAUCACAUAGUGCAGCUAUGUAAUCUAAUGGCUCGAUGUCUGCUAGCAUUGCAAAAUGCACCAAUUAACCAUCACUAGUUCAUCAUCACCAGUUACCUGACAGUCUUCUGAACUUCUUGGAAUUUGUCUGUUUCUUUGUGGUCUGGCUAUAGUGGUUGACUCUUCAUCUAUGAUUUCUUCAUCAUUAGCAACUUCAUUUAUGGUGAGCUCAUCAGAUUCUCUAUUAUCUUCAAUGAUAACCUCCUUCUCAGAGACACUGCACUUAUUUGCAGUACAAUCCCAAUAUUCAUCUAUUUAAGAUGAAUAUUGGGAUUACACUAAAGUUUUCAGGGAUAUGCUUAUAGCAUAUUGAGCCAAAUACCUUCAAAUGACUGACAUAUGGUUUUCUACCUGACCAAACCUCUUCAGGCACUUGAUUCUUCAAUUUCUUAGUGGGACAUCUAUUUAAGAUGUAAGCUGCAAUAUUCCCUACUUUACCCCAAAAUUCAUGAGGUAGCUUCUUCUCUAUCAGCAUAAUCCUAGCCAUAUCAAGUAAACUCUUAUUCCUCCUUUCAGCAAUACCAUUGCGUUGAGGAGUGUAAGGAGUUGUCACUUCAUGAACUAUACCCUGACUUGUGCAGUAAGAUUCAAAAUAUCUAGAAGUAUAUUCACCACCUCCAUCUGUUCUGAGAAUAUUCACCACCUUCAAAUCUUACAAAGAAUAUGAGAUGGUAGAAUUAUGAGAAUUUUCUCCAUGAUUGCUUUAUCAGAAAGAGUCUCACAACAUAGCUUCAUCUGAUUUGUGAUUGUUUGAAUUGAUUAGAAAUAUUCCUCUAUGUUCUUUUCUUUCUUCAUCUUCAGCAAUUCAUAUUGUCUUCUCAAUGAUUGCAAUCUUAUCUUCUUCACCUUAUCAUCCCCACUGAAGUAUUUCACAAGUGUAUCCCAAGCUUCCUUAAAGCUUUUUGCAUAUGCAAUCUUUUCAAAUACCUUGUUAUCCACGCAUUGAUGAAUAUAAAAGAGAGUCUUGAAAUCUUUCUUGUUCUUGGCUUCUUUAUGCGCAUUCCUUUGAAUUUAUGUGGGAUUUGCAGGAAGUGCUUCAACUUCAUUGUUGACAAUCUCAAGAACAUCUUGAAACCCAAAGAUCACCUUCAUCUGUUUCACCCAUCUUUGCCAAUUCUUCCCAUCAAGAACUGGUAAAUGUGCAGAGAUGUUUCCAUUGGAAUUCAUGGUUAACUCUCUUCUUCUUGGAUCAAAAAAUGAUUAUGCUCUGGAUACCAAUUUGUUGGUGAACAAAUUGAUCUAGGGUUUAUGUGUUUUGUGUGAUUGAAGGAUAAGAAACAGUUUUAGAGAAUGAAAAAGAGAGAAAGAGAUUGGAGAAUUAAAACUGAAUGCAUUGGCUUUAUUAAAUGAGGAACCAAGUAUAUAUACAACAUGUUCUAGCUAUAGCUUGCAUUACAAGUAAAUGCUAAUUGUCUAACUAACUUUCUAAAAACAAGGUAAAGUAGUUACUUAGGUAGCAAGGUAACUAACCCUAAAUCAAACUAUGAGUUUUGAAUUACAAAUUCAACACUCACAAGGGCAUGGUGGCGGAAACUCUAACCCUAGGAGAGCAAGAAAUUUCUUGAGAGGUUUUGAUUUUGUCUAAAAAAAUUUAUAUAAUCUCUUGGAUGUUGAACUCUAGGACGUUACAUAUCUUAUUUACCGAAACCAUUUGAUUAUGAUAUGUGCCAAAAAUAUUUAUAACCAAAUGCAAUAAAGUAAAUACAAAAUAUACAAUAAAUUACACUAGAAAAUAUUCAAUAAAUUACACUACAAGUUAAUAAUAAUGUUAAUUUGCAGACACUAAUAUACGUUUUGUUCCGUUCUGCUUAAUUUGCUCUAUCCAAGAAAAUAAUGAAGUUGAGAUAUAUUCAUAUGAGUGUCUGAUGUGUUGGUCUAUGGUUAUUUAGAUUUUAGACUAUUUUGCAAAGCAUAAGAAAUAAAUAAAAACAAACUAAAAGUCUGAUAUUAUAAAAAUCUGGUUUUUAAAAAAGGCUAAAAGUAUAUUAUUUUAUAAUUUUAUGUUUUAAAGUGUUGGUUGUAAAUACCAAAGUAAGAAAAAACUCAUAAACAUCACAUACAAACCCGCAUAUUUAAACCGCAUAACCUACGAUUAAGCAAUCCACCUUAUGUGAACCAAAACGAAAAUGGUGUGAAACAUAUUGGUCUUUAUCCACCUUGGGCCGCGAGUUAAACUAGUUGGUUUGCAGCCCCGGGCCAUAUUCACAACUCCUAUUUUUGUAUAGUUUUUAUUUGAAACAUUAGAAAAUUAAGCGUCAAACCAACAUAAUAUUGAGAGAGUUGGUAACAUGACUCUUCCUCAUAAAAAAAAAAAAAAUUGAAUUUCAUUCUUAAAAUCGUCUAUUUGAAAUUGAGCGAACUUAACCCGUUCAAAGAUCAUAUGUCUUCCUAUCAAGCUAGGAAGGUACCUUGAAAUGUUGUUAAUUAUAAUUAUGAUUAAGAUAUGCUAGAAGAAAAAAUUGAGGGCCAAGGGCAAACUGGCUCAUUUAAUAGAUAAAUAGACUUUAAAGCAAUUGGUAUACAAAUCCAAGUCACACCUCAGCAAGGAAGUUAAAGUCAGCCUUUAAUUGUUAGCAUUCACAUAUAUAGUAAAGACUUUUGGUUUAAAUUAGGCAAUUGUACCACAUCAAGAACAUUUAGAAGAUGCCAAAAAAUAAGACUAAAUAAUACAAAGGCUUUGAUGAUUCGAACUAUUUUGACUCUUUGUGUAGAUUUUAGGUAUGUUUGGUGGGUAACGUACAACAUUCAAUCAUUCCCAUCAAAUAAUUAAAUGAAUCUCACACUUAAUAUAAAUUUAAGAAUCAUAUCUUGUUCAUGAUCAUAUACAAUCUAUAGUGGUGUAUGCCUAUAAUAGUGUCAUGGUAGGUAUCAUAUUAGCUUUGUCGCUACUGAAGUAAAAUAAUUGUUUGACCUAAAAUAUUACCACUGUCGCUCUGUAAAAAAUAUAAUAUAGAAACAAUAUUCUUGUGAGGUGAGGAUUACCCCCACUUAUAAAUACAUUGUCAGGUCAUGUUCUAUCUGAUAUGGGACGCUUAACAUCUUAGAAAUCGUGGUUUGGGCCUAACACAACAUCACAAAACGGACUUGUGAGGUGAUGAUUGCCCCCACUUAUAAACAUAUUGUCAGACCAUAUCUUAUCCGAUGUGGGACUCUUACGUACACAAAAUUAGCAUAUUACAUAGGCUACAUAAUUUUUUAAUACAUGUAAAAUUAGCAUAUUGCAUACAUCUAGAACUAUGUUUACAUUUCAACAACGUUUAUUUAUUUUCUUACUGCAAGUGACGGAAACAGAAAAAAAAAAAAAAAAAAAAAGUUUAAGUAUAGGAUGCUCUAUUGCGGAUGGUCUUAGUCUUCCCAAGAAUCAUCAUAUUUUUUAUAAUAUCUCCACCAAGUAUGUCUUUAUAUACUUGUGUUAGUACAAUCAAUCAAUGUCGUAAUUUUUUUUUUUCUAACAGUCGACAUUGUCUAUCCAUUUAAAUAUUUUUUUUCAAUACCAAAAAAAAAAAUGAUCUUUCCUAAAAAAGACCUUAAAUUUUUUUUAGAGAAAAUAGCUUAUAGCUUUUCAUUAUUAAUCAAUGUCAAAAUACUAAGAGGUACAUCAUUAAAAACUUGGGAACUAGGUAAGAAUAAAGCCUCUCUAGCAAGAGUAUGAGCGACCUCAUUCGCUUGUCUCCAACUAAACUCCAUCUUAAAGUUUUCAGAAACAUUGUUGUUGCCUUUGGUAAAAUAAUCUACAACUAACUUCGCAUCCAUCUCAAAAUCUACAUUUGUAAGUUGUAGUUCGUGUACCCAUUGAAUUGCAUAGAGUAGACCUAAUACUUCCCCAAUCUCUGGCUUACAUAUGGGAUUAGACCACAUCAUCUUUGCCUUCCUGAAAUUACCAGCAGCAUCCCGUAUACACAGCCCAACACUACUAAAAAAAACAAAAAUUAGUGAGGGAUAUUUAGUGAGGGAAAAUAUGAAAUCCCUCUCUAAUUCCCUCACUAAAUUUUACGACCAAGGAAUUUGUGAGGAAUUUCAUUUUUUCCGUCACUAAUUUCCCUCACUAAUUUUGCUUUUUCUAGCAGUGCAAAACCAACACGAUUUGAAUCUUCCGAAAACGCCGCGUCGAUGUUGCAUUUUAGCUUACCAGCUGCACUACACUUCUGCUUCCUCAUAUUUCCUCAUAGUCUGGCAUGUAAACAAUGUGUUGCUUAAUAUAACAAUUUUCUAUAUAUGGCUGCCAGAUUUGCUCCCCUGGUGAUUAGACAGUAAACAAUAAAAAACGUUACACGCAAUUUCAUGGUUGGUUCAAUAUUUUGUUGUCCAGCUAAGUUAUAACAUAGUUUCAAAAAAGACAAUUUGUUAUUCAAAUUUGAAAAUGAUGCAAUGAUAAAGACAUUUUAUCACCUUAUCAUUAAAAAAACACGUGUAAUAAUCACUUAAACACAUGGACAAAUAAAAUCACGUAAGCAAUCUUGAUAUUAAUUAACGAAGGUUGACUCAGUUUAUAAGAAAUUGAUUCAUCUGUACGCCAUAGAUUCAACAUUUAUUGUCAAUGUAAAUAUCUUUUUUGUAAAUGAUAUGUAAAUACUUCUAUAAACAUUAUUUAAAUCUUGAAAUAUGCCUUAACUAUAAUGAAUUUUUGGAGGGUAACCUAUCAAAAUUUAUUUAUAUAAUAAAUAAAAGGUAAAUAUUUUGGCUAGGAAAAACCAAUGGUAGGAAAAAAAAUUACAUGUUGUGAUGUCAUGGAAGUCGAUGUAUGAGUAAACCUAGCUACUUGCUGGAAAUGAAAUAUGUUAAAGAUCUUACACACUGAAAGGAUCAAAUAUAUGUUCCUUUCGCACGAAUAGUUCUCUCUCUUUCUUUUUUCUUAAAUCAUAGCCGUCACAACUUUUAUUCUUUUUGGUGUACAAAAAGAAUUGAUUUAGGAUCAAUUACGAUCCAUAAUCACCCCUUUAAAUUGUUAUUCUUUCUCUUUUAGCAAAGUAAGUGAUUUUCACAUAAUUUUCUUUCCUUUGUUUUUGUGAUUUUGUCGUAUAACACGAUUUUGUUUAUUUUGAUUUCUCGUAUUUAUGCAGUGUUUUUAAUUGUUAGCUUUCACAUAUAGCAAAAACUUUUGAUUUAAGUUAGGCAAUUGUACUACAUCAAGAACAUUUAGAAGAUGCCAAAAAAUAAGACUACACUAUGCAAAGGCUCUGAUUGGAACUAUCUUGACUCUUUGUCUGGAUUUUAGGCAUGUUUGGUGGGUAACCUACACCAUUCAAUCAUUCCCAUCACAUGAUUAUUAAAUGAAUCCCACUUACUAAAAUUGAGAAUCAUAUUAGCUUUGUCGAUACUGAAGUGAAAUAAUUGUUUGACCUCAAAAAAUAACAUCCGUGUAUAAAAGGAUAACAGAGAAACAUUCAUACACAAAAUUAGCAUAUUACUUUCACUAAAAAAAUUUUAGGCUUAAUACAUGCUUUCGUCCCUUAACUUAUUUUUGAAUUUCAUUUUGGUCCCUUAACUUUAAACCGUCUCAAUUUGUUCUCAUAACUUUGCCUCCGUUUACAGAAGGGACCACUUAGGUAAACGGAGGCAAAGUUAUGGGACCAAAUUGAGACGGUUUAAAGUUAAGGGACCAAAAUGAAAUUAAAAAAUAAGUUAAGGGACCAAAGCAUGUAUUAAGCCUUAAAUAAAUUAUACUAAGAGGAUAUUUGUCAAAGAUACAUAUUUUUAUUGAAGAAAAAAAUAAUAUUACAAAGCAUGAAAAAAGCCCAAUAAAUAAAAUGGUUGAACAGUGUUGGGAAAAAUAUUGCAAGAUAAAAUAAUAAAUAUAUUACAACAUCAACAAAACUCGUAAAAUAGUGUGAGAAUAUAGGAAAUUUUUCCAUGACAAUAUAGGAGGUGAACAAAAUAAAUUAUGUUAAAAUUAAAUUAGAAAGUAAUGAAAACUUUGGUAAAAUAAAAAGUAAUAAAAACAAGCAAAUCUCUAAAAAAAAGUAAUAAAAACAAACAAAUCCCUAAAAAAAACAUAUAAAAUAUUUGGACUAUAAAAUUAAAGUAGAUAUGAAUUAUUUGUUGAGAUGUUUAUGUCAAAUAGAAAAAUGAGUUUUCUAAAAAUAAAACAUAAAUGUUAAUUUCAUUGGAACACCAACAAAAUAAAAAUUCAUAGGGAGGUAGUUCUAUUGCAUCAAAUAGAUCUAUUAUGAGAUAAAAAUAAAUGAACAUCAUAAUAUUAUUUUUAGUAAAUGUAAAUUAAUGUAUCACUCAUUUUUUAUAGAUUAGAAAAAUGAUUUUGACAUUCUAUAAUUUAGAGAUUAUUUUUUAAAGACUUUAUUAAAAAGUAUAAUCAAUUUUGUGUUUAUUUUUCAGAAUAACAAUCACUUCUUUGAAAAAAAAUAUAUGUUAAUUUGAUACAAGGCUUAAUAAAUGCUUUGGUCCCUUAUUUUUGAAUUUCAUUUUGGUCCCUUAACUUUAAACCGUCUCAAUUUGGUCCCAUAACUUUACCUCAGUUUACCUAAGUGGUCCAUUCUGUUAGUUUUUUUAACAGAAGGGACCACUUAGGUAAACGGAGGUAAAAUUAUGGGACCAAAUUGAGACAGUUUAAAGUUAAAGGACCAAAAUGAAAUUCAAAAAUAAGUUAAGGGACUAAAGCAUGUAUUAAGCCAAAAAUUUAUUACGUGUUCUGGAUCGAUCAAAAGAUCAAUCCCAUGUUGACACGUGACCUAAAUUUGCACUGCCUUAAAGCUCCGCGCUUGAAGGAGCAUGCCAAUUUUAGUACACCGCGUCACGUUCAAGCACGCCUCGGCGUGAGGUCACCUUACACGUGUUCUCUAACUGUCUCCUGAUCACAUGCUGCAAAACUCGAAGACAUCUCCACGAGUGCGUGUAUAAGGGUGACUUAACUUCACCCUCAAAGUAUGAUUCACUUUUCACAACACUUUCUACAUACUCUUUCAAAGGAAUAAAAAAAACAUUUGUUACAACUAUUUUUAUUUAAAGAAUCAUAGGUGCGGGAUGAAAUAUUAAAAAGUUAUAAUCACUUAAUAAAAUAGAAAUCGAUCCUCACUGAACCGACGUGGACCACGAUUGAUGACCAUAUAUAGUUGAUGAAACCCAGAGAUGGGGGGUGGUUGUCUCCGCCACUGAUAUAGUAACAAAAUAAAGGUUUAAUUGCACUUUUGGCCCCCUAUGUUUCAAGAAGUUGCGAUUUUGACCCCCUAACUAAUUAAAAUACAAAACAUCAUUGAGCUCAGCCACCUCCCAUCUCUGGGCUUCAUCAACUAUACAUGGUCAUCAAUCUUGAUCCACGUCGGUUCAGCGAGGAUCGAUUUCUAUUUUAUUAAGUGAUUAUAACUUUUUAAUAUUUCAUCCCGCACCUAUGAUUCUUUAAAUAAAAAUAGUUGUAACAAAUGUUUUUUUUAUUCCUAAAUUCAAACCUCUGAACUAACGUACACUAAUCUUUUCCCUCAUGAACAAAUAGUACAAUAAUCCUCAAGAAGAAGCUUCUUAGUCUUCCUAAGGCGUGUUGUAGAAAUUAAAUUAACAAUAAUAUUUUCACUCAAAGCUCGUCAUGUUUUUUAUAAUAUCUCCAUCAAGUAUGUAUUUAUAUACUUAUGUCAGUACAAUCAAAUUCGGUCCUCGUGAGCAUAGCUCAGUUGAUAUGGACAAUGCAUAAUAUAUGUAAGGUUUGAAGUUUAAAUUCCGACAACCACAAAAAAAAGAGUACAAUCAAACUCGAAUCUGACAUCUCAUAAUUGUGAUUGCGUGUAUGUAAAUUUAAAAGGUGGUGAUAUUUGUGAGAUCUUUAUUUUUCUUUCUUUUUAUUGGUUUAAAACAAUAAAGAAAAAAAUGAAGAGAAAGAAUAAGAAUAUAAUGCGAAUAUAAAAGAAAAUUGUUGAAAAAUUGUUACAAAAUAAAUGUUAAAAUAUCAUUUCUUAAAUCUAAAACGUUGCUCGUCACUUUUUCUACAUGUCAAAGUUGAAUCUUGUGAAGAAGUGAUUGUCCCAAAAAUAAUAUUUUAUUAGCAACAGUACUAGCAUCAAAUAUUUGUCAACAAAAAUAAAGUACUAGCAUCAAAUAAACUAACGUGCUACAUAUGAACAUAACCUCAAAUAUUGACUAGCUCCAUGCAUAUACUUUUCCCACGUUAAAAAAAAAGCCUAAUCAAAUUUCUAAUAACAAUUCUAAAAUUACUAUACACUCUUUCCAUAGACAUCAUUAUUGAUGAUUGUGGACAUGACCCCACAAUAUUAAUUUUGGUACAUGCAUAUAGCUCGAGAUACAUUUUUAAGAGAAAUAUAAUUUGUAUGAUAAUUUCACGACAAUUUUUAUGAUAAUUUUUUUUUUCUCACACUCAUGUUGUAUUUUUGUUCUCUCAUUUCAUAUUUCUUUGUCUAUUGCUUUUUUCCUAAAAAAAGAAAAAAAAUGAUUCUCCCAAAAAUACUUGUACAAAUAUCCACUCUUAGAAAAAGUAAAAUUAGGAAGAGAAAUUAGUGACGGAAAACAUUAAAUUUCUCACAAAUUCUUAAAUCGUAAAAUUUAGUGACGGAAUUAGUGAGGGAUUUCACGUUUUCCCUCUUAAAAUUUUCCUCACCGUUUUUUACUUUUAGUAGUGAUCAUUGAUAAAUUUUUAAUUCAUCUAUUGAGGAGGAACUAAAUAACCAUUUGUGUAAAUCUUUUCUUUUUUUAUAUCUAACAGGGUGAUUUAUAAGAAGAAGAGUCUGAACAUUUCGAUGAAGAAAAUCUAUAGAAAAGAAUUAAUUUAGUUAAAAGUGAGCCAACUUGGUUUUACUCCAAAAAAAUAUUCUUUAAAAUUUUUGCUCAUUCAAAAUCUAAAAUUGUUGUUUUCAAACGUAUAAUUUAGCAACUGAUUAUUAAGCAUUAGGAAAAAGCCCAUGCGACAGUAAAAAAUUGGACGCUAACAUGUCAAUUAGCGUCAACCUAGUGUGAGGCUCGUGGUUGACAAUAAAAUGCUUGAAGCUAACCAUUUGUGUCUGCAAUCCUGAAGCAAUUUGUAAGUAAUAUCGUAGACCAAUUUAAAUUUUUUAAGCUAAGCAUUAGCGUCUGCAAUAUCGAGGCUACAUCGCGUGCGCUUAGUGUAGGUCAAUUUAAAUUUUUAAAAUUCUGUAAAAGCAUUGACUAAAGGGGUUGGCCAACAAAAUAAAACAUAUUAGAAAUAAUUAACAAUCCAUUAAAGAUAGAAAAAAAAGUAAAAUAUAUAUACAAAGCAAAGCACAUAUUUGAGACAAGCAUCAAAUGUAAUAAAAAAAAUGCUACUAUGUUAUUUAUCCCAAAAAUAAAAUUAAAACAUCUUACAAUCAUGUGCAACAAACUUCUUUCUAUUGCAAUGGAGUCAACAUGUGUUAAACCAAAUAAACCAAAUAUUUAGAUGAUCUCCUAAAUAUUUUCUCUACAUCUAAGAAAAGAAUGUUCCAAAAUCUUGGCUAUAUUAAAGUUGAUAGGGUGGAAAUAUAAAUCUUGUUCAUUUUCGUUUUGGUUUUAAGCACAUCCUCUUUGUUUGAUUUCAACCUACUCAAACAAGCACAAUAAGCUUCAACAUUGUCAAUAAAGAAAGCACACACAAUUACAAAAUAUGUCAUAUAUUAGUCUACAAGAUAUGAUGAUUUUUUUUCGAUGUUGACCAAGCUAAUUACAUUUUAAUAAAAAUAAUUCUAUCAAUGAAAUUAUUAUGACAUCUCUCUUUAUCAACCUAAAAAAGUUUUUCAAAGCAAAGCAGAGGGAGUUCUUCCUACUCAUGUCGAUUAAUCAAGUCAAAAAGCUAAAAAAAAAAAAAAAAAACCAUUACUACAAUAAAGGAGAUUUCACCUCGGUUGAAAUGAAGUUUUCACAUUGCACCGUUCAUGAGGUAAGGUGGUGUGGUAUGUCUAACACUAUUUACAUCGGGCACAUCAGGUUGGUACCCAAUGUGAUAAGUACUUUUCACAUCGUUUUAUCACCGGAUGUGAAAUCCCUUUUAUAAAUUAGAACAUGUGAUUUACAUUUCACAUUAACUUUCACCUCAAGUGAUGUGAAAUCCAUUUUUCUAAAUGGUACAUUUUUAACCAACUUAAAAUGUCUAAUUUUUUAUAACAAAUAUAUAUUUUUAACCGACUUAAAAUAUAAAUUCAUGUGCUCUAUGAAACUGACACUCACUAAAUUGAAUUAAACAACUCCAACAUUGAUACGACAAUCAUCACUAGCAUUUAACUCCACAACCUCAAAUUUAUAGAUCAGAGGGCCUAUAAUACAUGGUAGUUACAAAUUAUCAACAAUUGGACGAGAUUAAAUAUAUACAAUAUUGUUUAAAAUAUAUGAAUUCAAAGUCAUAGUAGCAUAAAAAAUAAGAAGGGGUUAAAUUGGAAGGGUAUUGACUACAAAUUAACAAAUCAGAAAAUCAAUUUGAAAAGAGUAAGAAUACUAAUUUACUUAACACAAAAAAAUAGAUCCAAAGCAUAUUAUGAUGACUAUUGACUAUAAUCCCCAUUACAUAAGAAAUACCCAACAAAUAUCAAAAAGAGAGAUCUAACUUUCUAUCUCCAUUUUGAUUAUAAUGAGUUCACAAACAAAAUUCCCUAAGAAACAAUAGAGACCAUCAGAAAUCAUAAGCAAAAUGUUCUAAAAGAUAACAAACUCUAAAAGCUAAAGAAUAAAAACAUAAAAUUGCAACUAAUAGAGAAAAGAAACGAUUUAAUUCAUAAGAGAAGAGAACAAAGGAGUUGAAAAUAUAAAAUAAAGAUAUUGAUUCAAGAACAAAGACGAUUUUACCUCUGAACAACUUGAACAAAGCAACAAACAACGAAGGGCAAGAACAUAGACAAUUUUGGGUAUGAAAGGUUUGUAUCUGAGUGAAGCAGCGAAUGGUUUGCCUCUGAACGGUGAAACAACGAAGCUCUAAACAUGGAGGACGACUUGGCUCAUAAUGAGUCUAAUUUUUUUAUUUUUUCUGGAUCUGAGUUUUUUUUUCCCAGAACUUUAUGGCUUUGAAGGUUUUUUAAUGAAAGUGUGAAAAGAAAAUAUUGGGAAAAAAAAGGUGAGGGAAAUCUUAAAAUAAAAGUAGGAAAGAAAAGGGAAAUUGAAAAAUAAUGGAUAAUUUUUUUUUUAGCUUCACAGAUAAUCGAUGCUAUUUAAAAAUAAAAUAAAUAGUUUUAGAAUAUAUUGACGCUAAUUAAAUAAUUAAAUUAAAAUAUAAUGAAUUGAAGAAAGCGUUAGAAUUUGUGGAUGCUAAUUAGACGCUGUUAGCAUCAGAAAUUGUCUCACGCUAAAAUUUAUGAAGCUAGAUUGCAAUUUUUUUGUAAUAUGUGAAAGGGUACCAUAGAAGUUCCCUUUUUAUUAUCUUUGGUGGAAACUCCCAACAAAUUUGAAAUAAUGUUACCCGAGAGGGAUACAUAGAACCUGUAAAAAUUUGCUUUUGGACGCAUUCACCACAUGUCCCGAAGCCUCGGAAUAAGAGUCAAAUAUUCUCAUAAGGCAGCAUACAUUCUUAUUUGGUACGUUUACAAAAAAAAUUAGAAUAUCGUCUGUGCAUAUGUUGGCCAGCUUGCCGAGCAAGAGUAAUCGAACGACUAAGAACCUCUUUUGCCAAACAAAAAUAAAAGAGGGGAUAGAAGGUCCCCCUGACGAACACCCCGCCCGCACACAAGAGAAGAAGCCCAUCGCUUUACCAUUCACCAGAAUAAAAAGACGCGCAGAGUGCAAAAUAUAGAAGAAAACCUGCAGGAGAAAGCCAGGCUAAAACCAAACUGAUGGAGCACAGCUAGCAAGAAAUUCCAAUCUAAAGUAUCAAAUGCCUUUCUGAUAUCAAGCUUGAGCGCUAAAUUACCCCCAUAUUGAUUACGAUUCAGAAGGUUAAUAGCCUCAGAAGCUAUAGUAAUACAUUCUGAAAUGUAUCGAUCACGAAUAAAGCCACGCUACUCCAAUCAGAUUAGGUAGAAGCUCUCCAAGUCUCCCCUAUUAUAUAAAUCCUUAACCUACUUAUUUUCUCUUAUUUCCAAAUCUGCCCUCCAAGUCUCAAUAUUCUAUUCUAAUAUAUUUCUAUAACAUAUAAGAAAUAUAUCUCUAUAACAAAUAUAUUUCUAUAACACAUAUAUUUCUACACCAAAUAAGAAAUAUAUUUCUACACCAGAUAACAUAUAUAUUUCUACACCAAAUAACAAAUAUUUUACACCAGAUAACAUAUAUAUUUUUACACCAAAUAACAUAUAUAUUUCUACACACCAGAUAACAUAUAUAUUUCUAUACCAAAUAACAUAUAUAUUAUACUAAUAAAUACCAACAUAUAACAUAACAAAAUAUCACUCAUCAAAAUAAAUCGACUAAAUUAUAAAAAGACAUCUAAACUCAAUAAAAUAAAUAAAUAAUAAAAUAGGACGUUACAGGAUCUGGGUUUUAUUUUUUUCUUUUCAGAACUUUAUGCUUUUGAAGGGUUUUUAAUGAAAGUGUGAAAAGAAAAUAUUGGAAAAAAAAAAAGGUGAGGGAAAUCUUAAAAUAAAAGUGGGAAAGAAAAGGGAAAUUGAAAAAUAAUGGAUAAUUUUUUUUUUAGCUUCACAGAUAAUCGAUGCUAUUUAAAAAUAAAAUAAAUAGUUUUAGAAUAUAUUGACGCUAAUUAAAUAAUUAAAUUAAAAUAUAAUGAAUUGAAGAAAGCGUUAGAAUUUGUGGAUGCUAAUUAGACGCUGUUAGCAUCAGAAAUUGUCUCACGCUAAAAUUUCUGAAGCUAGAUUGCAAUUUUCUUGUAGUGAUAUGUGAAAGGGUAAUGGUAUUUUUAUUACCUUUGGUGUAAGCUAGAUAUCCUCCGCAUGCAAUUGGAAAAACUAAUUCCUCAAACCUUCUGAGAAUCAAAUGAACGGAAAACUCUCCAUUAAAGACAAUGAUAUUUGAACAAUCAUAUACCUUCAAUACAUUGAUAUGAUAUUGAGUAGCCCAUUUUAGCAAGUAAGUUGUAAUAUAAUUAUAAUAAUAGUAAUAGCAGAAGACAAAAAUAAUGAUUUUAAUUGUGAUAAAUUAGUUGCAUUAUGUGUUAGAAAUGAUAAAAUUGAUAAAAUACUAAUUCUUGAUAAUUUAUCAAUAUAAAAUUCUAAAUUUUUAUUUUAUCGUGCAAAACAAUAGACUAUUAAAAGGUUAGAUUAACUCUAAUAUUUAGAUUUCUUAAUUUAUUUAUUAGUGGAUAAAACAGAAAAAUGUUCUGAAAAUUAUUGAGGCAGCUGUGUGAGAAAACAUAUGAUACAUGUAUAAUUUUUCAAAGUUUGUUAAGGAGAAAGGACAGAUUAAUUUGAUCAAAUACCCAAUAAUUAAUUCAUCAAUGACUACGCGUAUAUUGAAUUUUACUUACUUUGAAAUAGCUUACAAAACAAAAAUAACAAAAUAAUUUUUUUGAAAGAGAUAUAAUAAAAUAAUUAUUGGUCCAUACUUACUAUAAAGAAAAUAAGAGCAGUGUCAACAUUUUCCAGCUAAUAUGCUCACUUACUUUAUUCCUUUCUUUACAUUUCUUUCAUGAAUAGCCAACUUGAUUCGAAUUGGUCCAAAAAACAUGCUCACUUAUUCAAAGGCAGGCCAUUAUUUUUUAAUGAAAUUAUAUGCUUGUAUUUUGAUAUAAACUUUUUUUAUAAACAUUCUGCUAAAGAAAACUAGGUAAAUUGUAAUAAGGACACCAACCAAGAUGAAUAGUUAAGGUAAAAUGUGUAAAGAAAAAACUAUAUAAAGGGUGAUGCUAUCUUUCAUAAUAGCAACAACAAAACACACUUUGGGAAAAUAUGGGGUCUCAAAUGGCCUCUAUUACUCUCACUAUUGCAUUGGCAAUAAUCUCUCUUAGCUUCCCAUCUCAAAUUUCAGCAAACAAUUACAUCUAUUCAUCUCCACCACCACCAAAGCCUUACUACUACCACUCUCCACCACCACCAGUGCACUCCCCACCUCCUCCUUACCAUUACAGUUCACCACCACCGCCACCAAAGAAGGAAUACAAAUACCCUUCUCCUCCACCACCAGUAUACAAGUACAAAUCACCUCCUCCACCGGUAUAUAAGUAUCAAUCUCCCCCACCACCAGUUUACAAGUACAAGUCACCUCCUCCCCCAGUUUACAAGUACAAAUCUCCACCCCCACCACCCAAGAAACCAUACAAGUAUUCAUCACCACCACCACCAGUUUACAAGUAUAAGUCUCCUCCUCCACCUGUUUACUCACCACCUCCACCAGUUUACAAGUAUAAAUCUCCUCCUCCACCAGUUUACUCACCACCUCCACCAUACAAGUAUUCAUCUCCACCACCUCCUCCGUACAAGUACUCAUCACCACCACCACCAGUCUACAAGUAUAAGUCACCUCCUCCUCCUUACAAGUACUCAUCUCCCCCUCCACCUCCAAAGAAACCAUACAAGUACCCAUCUCCACCACCCCCAGUUUACAAGUAUAAAUCUCCUCCUCCACCUGUCUACUCACCACCACCAAUUUACAAGUAUAAGUCACCUCCUCCACCUGUCUACUCACCACCUCCACCAGUCUACAAGUAUAAAUCACCCCCUCCACCUGUCUACUCACCACCUCCACCAGUUUACAAAUAUAAGUCACCUCCCCCACCUGUCUACUCACCACCACCACCAGUUUACAAAUAUAAGUCACCUCCCCCACCUGUCUACUCACCACCUCCACCUGUNNNNNNNNNNNNNNNNNNNNNNNNNNNNNNNNNNNNNNNNNNNNNNNNNNNNNNNNNNNNNNNNNNNNNNNNNNNNNNNNNNNNNNNNNNNNNNNNNNNNNNNNNNNNNNNNNNNNNNNNNNNNNNNNNNNNNNNNNNNNNNNNNNNNNNNNNNNNNNNNNNNNNNNNNNNNNNNNNNNNNNNNNNNNNNNNNNNNNNNNNNNNNNNNNNNNNNNNNNNNNNNNNNNNNNNNNNNNNNNNNNNNNNNNNNNNNNNNNNNNNNNNNNNNNNNNNNNNNNNNNNNNNNNNNNNNNNNNNNNNNNNNNNNNNNNNNNNNNNNNNNNNNNNNNNNNNNNNNNNNNNNNNNNNNNNNNNNNNNNNNNNNNNNNNNNNNNNNNNNNNNNNNNNNNNNNNNNNNNNNNNNNNNNNNNNNNNNNNNNNNNNNNNNNNNNNNNNNNNNNNNNNNNNNNNNNNNNNNNNNNNNNNNNNNNNNNNNNNNNNNNNNNNNNNNNNNNNNNNNNNNNNNNNNNNNNNNNNNNNNNNNNNNNNNNNNNNNNNNNNNNNNNNNNNNNNNNNNNNNNNNNNNNNNNNNNNNNNNNNNNNNNNNNNNNNNNNNNNNNNNNNNNNNNNNNNNNNNNNNNNNNNNNNNNNNNNNNNNNNNNNNNNNNNNNNNNNNNNNNNNNNNNNNNNNNNNNNNNNNNNNNNNNNNNNNNNNNNNNNNNNNNNNNNNNNNNNNNNNNNNNNNNNNNNNNNNNNNNNNNNNNNNNNNNNNNNNNNNNNNNNNNNNNNNNNNNNNNNNNNNNNNNNNNNNNNNNNNNNNNNNNNNNNNNNNNNNNNNNNNNNNNNNNNNNNNNNNNNNNNNNNNNNNNNNNNNNNNNNNNNNNNNNNNNNNNNNNNNNNNNNNNNNNNNNNNNNNNNNNNNNNNNNNNNNNNNNNNNNNNNNNNNNNNNNNNNNNNNNNNNNNNNNNNNNNNNNNNNNNNNNNNNNNNNNNNNNNNNNNNNNNNNNNNNNNNNNNNNNNNNNNNNNNNNNNNNNNNNNNNNNNNNNNNNNNNNNNNNNNNNNNNNNNNNNNNNNNNNNNNNNNNNNNNNNNNNNNNNNNNNNNNNNNNNNNNNNNNNNNNNNNNNNNNNNNNNNNNNNNNNNNNNNNNNNNNNNNNNNNNNNNNNNNNNNNNNNNNNNNNNNNNNNNNNNNNNNNNNNNNNNNNNNNNNNNNNNNNNNNNNNNNNNNNNNNNNNNNNNNNNNNNNNNNNNNNNNNNNNNNNNNNNNNNNNNNNNNNNNNNNNNNNNNNNNNNNNNNNNNNNNNNNNNNNNNNNNNNNNNNNNNNNNNNNNNNNNNNNNNNNNNNNNNNNNNNNNNNNNNNNNNNNNNNNNNNNNNNNNNNNNNNNNNNNNNNNNNNNNNNNNNNNNNNNNNNNNNNNNNNNNNNNNNNNNNNNNNNNNNNNUAUAAGUCACCUCCCCCACCUGUCUACUCACCACCUCCACCAGUAUACAAGUAUAAGUCUCCUCCCCCACCUGUCUACUCACCACCUCCACCAGUAUACAAGUAUAAGUCCCCUCCUCCACCUGUUUCCUCACCACCUCCACCACAUUAUGUUUACUCUUCCCCUCCUCCUCCAGUCUAUUCCCCUCCUCCACCACAUUACAUUUAUUCAUCACCCCCUCCUCCUUACCACUACUAGAUAGUGGUUUACGAUAGUAUCAAAUGGUAUGCUUCUUCCUAUGUACAACCCACACAAAACACUUCAUAAAUAAAACAUUUUAAGACAAGUAUAUACAUUUAUAUAUUAUCAACUAAACAAUUAAAUAAGAGAAACAAAAUUAGUUAUUUGAGCACUUUUACAUACCGACACACGAAACUCGUUAUCUAAUAUAAGCCUCACUUACAUUUUCUUUCCUAUAAUCUAAAUUAUUCAAUUUUUUGAGAUAUCUAAAUUGUACAUACACCUGAUCAAACAGUUUAUAAAACUUAAUCUGAGCCUAUUUACAUUCAUAUUAUUAGUAUUAUUAAAUUAGAAAAGAUAUUAAUAUAUAUUAGUAUAUAUAUUUAGGGAGACAAAACAUGUUAUGUAAUCAAACAUGUUGUGUAUAUAUAUAUUUUAAGUGCUUAAAAUUAAUGAAAGAUAUUAACAUAUUUAUGUAUUUGUAUACUUUUGUAGGAUUUGAGGAAUAUAUUGAAAUAAAGAGAUUAUAGUGCAAAGAAGGAAGAUGCAUUUCGCAAUUAUAUAGGGGAAAAAUCAAAGCACUUUGCCUCUGAAGAAGUUACUCUUUUUUUUCCUUCAUUUGUUUUGUUUUGUGAUUAUUCUCAUUAUUAGUGUGAUUGGUUUUUGAAUUAGACAGUUACAAGAACCGUGUGUUAUAUCAUGAUUGAAUGCAUUUUGUUUUGCGACCUACUUCUUUGCGAGGGGUUGCGAAAAUAAAUAAAAUUGAAUAUUUCUCCUUCUCAGUCUAUGUACAUUUAAUGAUUGAUAAACUAUACUGUAUUCUACAGUAUAAUUAACUAACUCCUACAGAAAUACUGAAAUGGAAUAACUCCUACAGGAAACUCCCAGCAAAUUUGAAAUAAUGCUACCCGAGAGGGAUACAUAGAACCCGUAAAAAUUUGCUUUUGGACGCAUUCACCACAUGUCCCGAAGCCUCGGAAUAAGAGUCAAAUAUUCUCAUAAGGCAGCAUACAUUCUUAUUUGGUACGUUUACAAAAAAAUUAGAAUAUCGUCUGGAUAUAAGUUGGCCAGCCUGCUGAGCAAGAGUAACCGAACGACUAAGAACCUCUUUAGCCAAACAAAAUAAAAGAGGGGAUAGAAGGUCUCCCUAACGAACACCCCGCCCGCACACAAGAGAAGAAGCCCAUCGCUUUACCAUUCACCAGAAUAAAAAGACGCGCAAAGUGCAAAAUAUAGAAGAAAACCUGCAGGAGAAAGCCAGGCUAAAACCAAACUGAUGGAGCACAGCUAGCAAGAAAUUCCAAUCUAAAGUAUCAAAUGCCUUUCUGAUAUCAAGCUUGAGCGCAAAAUUACCCCCAUAUUGAUUACGAUUCAGAAGGUUAAUAGCCUCAGAAGCUAUAAUAAUACAUUCUGAAAUGUAUCGAUCCCGAAUAAAGCCACUCUACUCCAAUCAGAUUAGGUAGAAGCUCCCCAGUUGUAAAGAAUUCCUGAACCAAAAGAAUCGCAUCCUUUGCAACAAUGUCCAAGAAUGUCUGGAAAAAGUAGCCAUCAAAACCAUCCAGACCAGGAGCACCAUCCCCAUUCAAAUCAAAAAUUGCAACCUUAAUCUCUUCAAAAAGUGGUAACUUGACUAGCAUAUUAUUAUCUUCAAAUGUCACUCGACGUGGAAUCAAAUUAGCCACCAUAGAAUUCUGCACACAAGUAUUAUUGUGACCAAAGAGAUAUUCUUAGUAGAAGCCGUAAUUUUUGCAACCCGAUGAAAGUAUUCCUAUCGCCCUGUAUAAAAUGUUAUGAAUGAGUCUUCUCCUUCCAAAAUUGAUCCUGACAUAACAACGCUUCAGUGAUCAGAAGUUGCGCCUUAAGAUCCUCCUGAUACGAAGCAUUAGUAAAACCUUUCGUGUCGAAAAGAAGCUGAAUUUAGUUAACUUCAUCAUGAGCUAACCUAACCUGUCUCGCUACAUCACCAAACACAGACCUAUUCCAGACCCGAAAAACCUGCUUCAACCUCUUAAGCUUUUCCUGAAGACUAGACAUACAACUGCCAACACAAACCUUACCCCAAGUAGCCGAAACUAGACGCUUGCAUCAACCAAGUUUUGAAAAAUUUGAAACUAGUUGCAUGCGGAAGAGGGGAAAACAUCGAAGAAACCAACAUAGCAUGGUUGUUUGAUUGAUGCAUCACCAACGAACAAGAAGUGGAGCGCCAAAAUUCAAACCAAAAUUCAUUACAAAUAGCCAUAUCUAACAUCGAAACAACAGUCUCUUAACCAAAUCUACCAUUAUGUCGGGUGUAGAGCGCCCCCACAGUCGGCAUGUGAGUCAAGAAAUUGGCAUUCGACUAAGACAAAAAAUAUAUGCAAGAUGUAGAAGGUGUUGGUCGACGCCCCCUUUUCUGAUAGGCACUAAAUAAUUGAUAAUUUUAUAAAUGCAUGAAAAAAUUGAAAACUUUCUUUCAUUGUGUUAUUUAUUUAUAAAAUUUAAAAAAAUUAUUGAUUGUUAUAAAUAUAUAUUAUUUAUUUUUAUAUGUUGGAAAUUUCAUGGAUCGUAAUAAAUUAUUUAUAAAUAUUUUUUAUAAUGAAAUAUUUUAAUUUAAUUUUAUCAUAUUAUGUUUUUGUUUAUGGAUCUUUAUGUUUUUUUUUUGUAAUUUAUUUAUGUUAUUUCAUAAAUACACGUAUUUCUUUUCUAUAACUUUUUUUUAGUUUCUCUCAUAUCAUAUUACUAACUAAUAUAUUCACGUGGGCUUAACUCAGUUUUGGUAUGAACAAUGCAUAAUAUAUGCAAGGUCCGGGGUUCAAAUCACGGCCAUCACUAAAAAAUACUACUAACUAAUAUCUUCAUUUCAUUUUCUUUUCUUUCAUGUAUAUUUCUCUUAUAUCAUUCUACUAAAUUGAGUAUUGUUAAUUUUCUCAAAUACUAAAAUGCGUCUUCAGUCUAAAUUUUAUAUGUUUGACAUGAUCAACGCUCUACAAUACAAGAAAAGGUAACUAUUUCUUUUUUACGAAAUAGAAGUUGCUAGGAAACAACAUAUAUAGGCAACCAUGUCCAAUUUUGAAUAAACGAUAAGAAAAUGAGUAAGACUAAAAAUGGUGACUAUGAACGACGGUAGUUAGAAAUAAUAAUUAUCAAAGAAUUUUUUGUGAGUAUUUGAAUAAUAGAAUAAAUAUCGUACAAAAGUACAACAAAGAUAAUUAAAUAAGGUUUAGGUCUUCUUCUUGGAAAGAAAAUAUGUGUUCUGUCAACAUCAGUUAAUUUUCUCAUGUUUUAGUUAUAUUGCAAUCUGUCAAUGCUGUGUUUCAUUGGGUCCAAAAACCUAUAAUUAACAUAAGAGAAACUUAUAAAACCUACUUCAACGAAAUUCAUAAUUUUGAAAAAAGUGAAUUUGAAUAGAUCAACCGGUUGUUAGUCAAAUUUCAUAAACCUAUAAACCUUUGCAAACAUAUGUAUAACCAUUUGGUAAUGGAUAACUCAUUUGAUUGAGCUAUCACAUUAAAGGAGUUCAAGGUUCCAAUCCUCACAAGAGAGAAAAUAUUAACAUAACAAUUAAUAUAUUAACAUUUGAUAUUUAAAAAAAAAAUUAUAACCAUCUUAAUAUCAUUAAAGAACUAAACGCAACUUUGUUGGUGAAGAUCAUGAAUCAUUGGCCCUUCUCGAUCCACAACUUGUCUUGUUGGGAUCCUUGUCAAACUAUGUUGUUUCAAAGACAACAUUUUUGAUGUUUUGAUGAUAACAAAUCACAAGGGUUGGUCUGGUGGUAUUGGUUUGGGACCUGCGAAUGUGCUCCUUCUCGAGGUCUCAGGUUCGAUUCUCUUGACUGUCAAUUUAGGUGGGCUAAUACAAUUUGUUUAUGGGUCAUGCUAACUUGUCCUCAAAGGACACAAGUUAAGAAGCUUAAAAUAGAAUUAACAAAUAAAUUUUAUAUUAAAAUGAUAACUUUAAUAUAUGUUUAAGUGUGCAAGAAUUUAAUUGAGAACUAGAGUUCAUUAAUGACUAUCUAUCUUAAAUUGUAGACUAAAUUAAAAGUAAGUUAGGAAUAAUAAUAUGAGUCAUCCUGACUUUUGCCCUAAAGUACAUGUUAAGCAACCUAAAAAUAGAAAUAUUCUAUUAAAUUUGAGCAUUUAAUUAACAAAAAGUAAAAAGAUAAAAUUUAAAUAUAUUAAUUCAACAAAAUAUUUUUACUUUUGACUCAUUAUCUUAUGUCACAUAAAGAAAUAAAGGAAACUAAGAGUUAGUUGUAUAGAUAACUUGUUCCACAAGUUAUCUAGUAGUUAGUUGUAACUAACUGUAAUAGGUUUUAGAUAGCAUACAGUUGGUGUAUUAUAGUUGUUCUAGUCGUCUAGGAUCUAUAUAUAAGCUGUAAUGCUCAUAUGAUUCAAUCAAUGAGAAUUUUACUCUUCAUAUUCAUUUCUUCUUUCAUAAUAAAUGAUUUUAAGAAUAGGGAAAUGUUAACUGAUACCUUUAAGAUACUGGUUAAGGUACUUCCUCCGAUCCUUAUUAUAAAAAACAAUUGAUUUUUUUUGGUUUAUUGUAUAAGUGAUGUAUCUAGUCUAUAUUUACAAUAAGAUACAUUAAUUAUUCUAUGAAUCUAAAAAGUCAAUUUUUUUCUUAUAAUAAGGACCGGAGAGGGUAUUAAAUUAUGAUACCAUAUCAACUUCACUUACGCUAAGUUGUCUUUGCCAAUUUUAACUCCAUUACACCUAUUAUCAAACAAAUAAUAUUGCCCAUCAACUAGUGAAUACAACAACAUAUUUUCUUAUUUUGCGUAUCUUUGAUGAGAUUCCGACAUGCAUUGGAUAUAUAUCUACAUAGAUCCCAAUCAGGGUAGUUGCCCUCAUUGUGUAUAUAUUUUGUUUGAUGUUUUUUAGUUAUUUUGUUUUUGUUCCUACUAAAAUUAAGCGAUGCCCCCACAAAUCCAUUUUUGUGGAGUUUUGUUAGAUUCAACGACGAUUUUUAACACCUUUUCAUGCUUCUUAAAAUAGCUUUCAUUAUCUAAAAACUUUAAUUUGUAAACAUCAAUUUUAAUUUCAUAAGUCAUGUAUAAUCCAUUAAAAUUUCAUAAACCAUAAAAUUUCAUAGUCCUUACAUAAUUCAUAUCUACAAAUUGCCCACACAAAUUUUCAACUAAGAUCUUUUAUCCGUGCAUACCCUCAGGCACGGGUUCUUUUGUCAUCCCAAAUUUUUAUGUGUAUAUCUCUCAAAGUCUCAUGUUUAAAUCACAACAUCGAUUUCUUUGGAUUAGUCCAUACAAAGCUUUACUUUAAAGUUAAUUAGUCAUCCCACUAGUGGAUUGUAAGAUUGGUUCCAAAGAUGACUUGGUCCUUAGACGCAAUACCGAGUUUCCAAAAGAAAUUAAUAUUUUUAUGACAAAAAAAAAGAAAUUAAUUCAUAUCCGUAUACUAUGAGUCAAUUACUUUAAUUUUAGUAAAGUACACCGCCCGAUUACUAUUAUAAGCAAAAAUCAACAUUUUAUAUUCAUUCAUUAAAUGAUAUAUGUAAUCUAUAAUAAAGAUCUUAUACAUCAUUAAUUGAAUGAAUCUAAUAUAUAUAUAUUUUUGUUUAUAAUAGUGGCUGAAACGUGUAUAUAUUUUAUUUACUCUUUAUAAUGAGUAAACUCCACCACUGACGGUCGAUUCAUAUUUACUGUCACAUGCAAAAUACCGUAAUUUACCAUAAUGCAUGUAAAUGGUGUUAAAUUUGGUAAAGAAAAAAACUAUAUAAAGAGGUCACUAGUUUUCCUUAGGCAUAACCAAAACCCGUUUAAAGUGACUUGUAAGGGGAAGAAUGGGGUCUCCAAUGGCCUCUUCUUUACUCACUACUCUAAUGGCAAUACUCUCUCUAAAUUUUAUAUCUCAAAUCUCAGCUAACAACUCGGUCCACUCAUCUUCACCACCACCACCAAAGUUUCCUUACCAUUACUCAUAUCCACCCCCACCUCCCAAAAAACCCUACAAAUAUCCAUCACCUCCACCACAAAUAUAUAAGUACAAGUCUCCUCCACCACCGCUACCAAAGAAGCCCUACAAAUAUCCAUCACCUCCACCACCAAUAUAUAUGUACAAGUCACCUCCGCCACCGAUAUAUAAGUACAAGUCUCUUCCACCACCGCCACCAAAGAAGCCCUACAAAUAUCCGUCACCUCCACCACCAGUUUACAAGUACAAGUCUCCUCCGUCACCAUCACCAAAGAAGACCUACAAAUAUCCAUCACCUCCACCACCAGUUUACAAGUACAAGUCGUCACCCCCACCUUAUAAGUACCCAUCUCCACAACAACCUCUACAACUAUCGCAACAAACUACCAAUUACUAUUACAAGUCACCACCACCGCCACAUAGGAAGCCCUAGAAAUACCAAUUUCCUCCACCACCACCUAAGAAGCAAUACAAGUAUAAUUCAUCUCAAC